RNAcentral lists this long non-coding RNA (55941 nucleotides) under Triticum aestivum (bread wheat). RNAcentral's name for it is "long non-coding RNA (TAES_LNC018424)". Lineage: Eukaryota; Viridiplantae; Streptophyta; Magnoliopsida; Poales; Poaceae. The record is from RNAcentral.
UUUUUUUUUCUUUUAUGCACCGUGCUGUUAUGAGAUAGUCCUUGGUUGAUUUAUAGAAUGCUCUUUGCACUUCACUUAAAUCUUUUGAGUAUGGCUUUAUAGAAUACUUCAUGUGCUUCACUUAUAUCAUUUGAAGUUUGGAUUGCCUGUUUCUCUUCACAUAGAAAACCGCCAUUUGUAGAAUGCUCUUUUGCUUCACUUAUAUUUGUUAGAGCGUGGGCAUAUAUUUUGUAGAAAGAAUUAAACUCUCUUGCUUCACUUAUAUCUAUUUAGAGAGAUGACAGGAAUUGGUCAUUCACAUGGUUAGUCAUAAAAUCCUACAUAAAACUUGUAGAUCACUGAAUAUGAUAUGUUUGAUUCCUUGCAAUAGUUUUGCGAUGUAAAGAUGGUGAUAUUAGAGUCAUGCUUGUCAUGCCCAAUAUGCGAUACUAUCCUAAAGAGACUCGAAGGUCCCACCAAGGAUAGAACCGCAUAUUGACACGACAAGUUGGUAUCAGAGCCUCGACCGACCUUAGGAGCCCCCCUUGAUUGAUAGUGUAGCUUGGCCGUUGUUGAGUCUAGAAGAAAACUUUUUCGGAGUCUAGUUAUAUCAGAGAGUAGGAAUUCUUUUUACUCCUCAACCCCUUCGUCGAUCUGGUGAGAAAUCUUGACGUAGGUGUUUUGAUAUACUCCUCUUCCCCUUCAAAACUUUUUAUUAGGAUCUCGCGGUUAGUUCUCGUUCGUUCCGAUGCCAGCUCUUUUCAUCUGGUGCUUUUCUCGUCAAGUUGAUGUGAUCCCCUUCAUCUUUUGCAAGAUCAGUCCUCAGUUCUUUCUCAACGACGUUGUUCCCUCUGUGAAGUUGUCUUUCUUUUCCCACGCGCCCACCCUUCUUCUCGGAGCCGGAGUUCGUAAUCGAGUAUCCACCCUACCCGUGCGAAGCCUUUGCAUUCUUUCCUCAAUUAUUUCAACAGUGUUUUCUCUUCAAGUUAUUCGUCGGUUCCCCGUUCCAAGUUGCCUUUGUUUUACCCGCCCGUUUUCUUCCCGGAGUCUGAGUCUCUAUUCGAGCAUCAAUGUUAUUCGUGCGGAGCCUCUUCAGUUUUUCCUCUAUUGCCUCAACCAUUGUAUUCUCUUCUAGUUCAGCAUUGUUCAUCUCCUCUUUUUUCUUUCCGGUGGAUCCAAUUCAAGACUUUCGUUGUUGAUCGUAUUCAUUUCCUCGACUCAAGUGCUUUCUUUGCUCGUUCGCCUCUUGCCAGUUUAUCUUUCCGGAGUGCCCAAAACAUCGCAGAAGAUUCGUGUUUGCAUUCAAAUAAUUCGAGGUUGUCACCUCAUUCAAGUCUUUCAGUUGUUCCGGUGCAUCAUCUCUCUCUUCAACAAUCCUUUCCAAUGAUGCUUCUUUUUAGUGGGCCCUAACCCACAGGUCUUUUCCCAGGAUCUUACCUGACUCUUCUAAUUUUCCCGGAGCUAUUCUCAAAUUCCUUCGAGGUAUGACGUAAGUAUGAAUUUCAUCAGUCAGAUGCUUUUCCAAGAUCAAUUUCAAACCAUUUUCAUCGUCGACUCAACUUCUUCGCUUUGCAUUCUCCCGGAGUAUCUCAACAAUUUUGGUGUUGUCGUCAUUCUCAACAUUGGAAGACCGAAGUAGAGUUAUCCCUAAAUCUUGUCCGUUCUCCCGAAAAUUUGUGGCGCUAGCUUGAUGUUAUCCUAUCAAAUUGUUUCCAGUCGUGCAAUCCUUUUCAUCCAUCCGGAGUAUUUCAGGAGUUGUUUUUCCGUCUCGAUCAUCCGGAGGCCAUCUUUUUGGAAUAUUUAUUUGUUCUAAGUUUUCAGAUUCGUUCUCCAAUUAUCUAUAUCCGUGCCCCUUCGUUCGUCUCAAUAUUCUUCCGGUGCGUCGUUCAAGUAUUCUUCAAUCAAUUCGCGAUCCCUUCGUUCUCUUGUCUCUUAAUUCCCUCAAGUAUCUUUGUGCUUUUCUAAUUCUUCCCGGUGAUUCAUUCUCCUUCGUCAUUUAAUUUUGAAUUCUUACUGUGGUUCGCUCAAAAUUUCUUUUCUGUUGAUUAUCGUAUCAAUUCAUUCGUUCUUUCCUAAUCCUACCGACGGUUCAUGAAGACUCUCUCGUGUUCGCGCUAUAUCUCCUCGUAGCCCUUUUCAACGCGAAUAAGUAGUAAGCAAAUCCGUUGCUUGUCAUCAGUUUAAAUUGGUGAAGGAUAUGCAUAACAUAAAUCUUAUUCUUCUUUCAUCAAAUUGAUUAAUUCCUUCCUUCGGAGAUUGUUCAUGUUGAAUAAUCUCUCGGGUUCAAGCAGUUCAUCCUUUCUUUUCGGAGUUCCAAGUUUUCUCGGCGAUCUCGUCUCGAAGCUCCAUCUAAUCAUAGCAAGGCCUUAAUCUUAUUCUUGUCAUCCUUCAAUUCUAUCUCAUCAUCCCUUUUGUUAUCGGAGUUCUUCACGGUGACUCGUCAUGAUUUAAUUCAUUCUUCAAAUGUUCAUCAAGAUUCUUGUUGAAGGAGCUCAAGUAUCUUUUCUUCGUGCAUCUUGAAGUGCAAUUAAUUCCCUGUAUUCUUUUGAAGUGGAGUUUUGCAUUUCUUCGUUCUUUCAACUAUUUCAACCAUUUCCGUUUGUGGUCGGUUAUCACCUCAUAAUUUUGAGAUGUUAUCCAUAAGUCCACAACAAGCUUAUUCUUUUCGUUGUUGAUUUUCUCAACAACUACGUCCAAUCCUUCCUUCUAAGGAUGCUUCCAAACUCAAUUGUGGUAGAUGAUAUCAUUUUCUUCUUCGUCCCUUUCACUCAACUUUUCCAAGUUUUUCGGAGGCAUUGUGUUGUUCCUCUCGUCAACUAUCGUUCCAUCUUGUCAAUCUCAGUUCCAACUCUUUCCAUGUUCAACCGGAGUGCUGCCUAAAUUCUUUCAGUCUUAUUCCAUUCUUAUAUUGUUCCUUCAGCCCUUGAUUCCCGUCGUAAUCAUCGUUCCUCUCUUCUUUCCGAGUGCUCUCGACUCUUUUCAUCUUCUCUUGCGUUAUUGUUUCACCUCAUCCUCUUUCUCUUCCGUCUUGGUCCUAAGAUCUCGGGACGAGAUCUCUUGUUAGUGGAGGAGAGUUGUAACGCCCCGGAUCUGAUGCGCCAGGUGUCUUCUAGUUAUUCGCCGUCGUUGCCAUGUCAUUUGCUUGCGUGUUUCAUCUUUUCCAUGUCAUCAUCUGCAUUGCAUCCUCAUAUUUUUUCAAAACUUGCCUCCAGUCUUUUUCCCCGUUGUCCGUUUCGCGGUCCGACACUCUCACAUGCACCCGUUGCACCUCUUAGACCUUGUUUCUUGAGCGGGAGAAAAAUGUUCUCGGAAUGGGCCGAGAUUUCUCAAGUGGCCUUGGUAUAUCACCGGUAGACCGCCUGUCAAAUUUCGUUCCAUUUGGAGUUCGUUUGAUGCCCGAACGGUUAACCGGGUAACCGCGAAACCCCUCUCUCUUUGCAGCACAGCCCCACUUCACCACAGCCCAUGAGCCCAUCCAAACCCCCUCCAUGCUCUCGGUCGUUGGAUCAUGAUCGUGUCGGCGAAACCGCUCCUCAUUUGGACACUCCUAGCUCCCUCUACCUAUAAAUAGGUCCUCCCCCUCCAUUUUUCGCGGAUGAAACCCUAGCUCCACCCCUCUUCCGCCGCCGGACAAAUCCCGCGCCGCCUCCCGCGACCAAUCGCAGCGUGACACGUGUCCCGCCGCCGCCACCCACCUCCGCCGGCCCGCGGAGCCCGAGUCGGGCCCGCGCGCCACCGCCGUCGGGAGAGUGCCCCCGGCCCGCUCCGCCUCCCUGCGCCCAACCCGCGCCGCUGCCUCCAUCGCCGCGCUGGCCACCGCAGCCCCGUCGACCUCGCUGCGCCGCCGCACUGCCCUGCCGUCGCCUCGUCGGUCGCGCGCUCCCGCGCCUCCUCUCCUCCGCCCCCGGCCAGAUCCGGCCGCGGGAGGGCCGGAUCCGUCUACCCCGAGUUUCUCCGCCGAGUCCCCGAGCUCCGGCCGCUGUAUGCUUCCUCUCCGGCGAACUACUCCGGCGAAAUCCAUCCGCAUCGAGAACCGUGCCGAAACCCUAGAAGGUUGACCUCGUUUUUCAGUCCUGAAAUUUUUGCAUUAUGUACCCAUGUUUGUCAUGCCAUAUCUCCAUGCAUAUAGCUCCGAUUUGUGCAUAUGAGAUAUCAAAAUGUUCACUGUGAGAUGCUCUUCAUUUAGUUCUAUUGUGGCAUGCUUAUUUGAGUUCAUCUUGAUGCCCCAAUCAUCGUCGCAAGAGUGCUAUAUGUUGUUAACCUGCUGAGACUGUUAUAAAUUGUUGUUUUGUCAUUUUCAUUGCACUUUGUGUGUGCAUCCUUUGAGCAUGAUGUCUACAUGUUUUAGGAGCAUAUUCAUGCCAUAUUUACAGUGGUUCAAUUCAUGUAUUUUUGUGUGCCUUGUGGUGAGUGCAACAAGCUUGUGAAGUGGGCUACUUGUUAUUACUGUUUUGUUAGGCUGAAACUGCCACAUCAUGUUGCUAUGUUUGAUUUAUGCUACCAUCAAUUAUAUGCAUAAUCUGGAGAUGUUCACUAAGGAUGUUUUGUUACACAUAUUAUGCUCUAUUCAUCCAUGCCCUUAUUUGCAUUUAUAGCCUGCUGUAACUUGUUGUAAUCUUACUCUCAAAUUGCUAAAUAAUGUUACUGUCAGCCUGUUAACAUUAAGUUCAGUUUUGCCAUGCUUGGCUUCUUAAAUAUGUUAUAUUACUGUUGGUUGACUUCACAUGCCAUGAAAUGCCUUGUGGUGAGUGGUUCAAGCUCACCAACAUGCCUACUUAUCGUUGUUCCUGCCAUGUGCUAUUAUUUUCACUAAGUCUGAAUCUGUCAUAUCAUUUGCCUUGUGGUGACUGCAACAAGCUUGUGAAGUGGGCUACUUGUUAUUACUGUUUUGCUAGGCUGAAACAGCUACAUCAUGUUGCUAUGUUUGAUUUAUGCUACCAUCAAUUAUAUGCAUAAUCUGAAGAUGUUCACUAAGGAUGUUUUCUUAGACAUAUUAUGCUCUAUUCAUCCAUGCCCUUAUUUGCAUUUAUAGCCUGUUGUAGCUUGUUGUAAUCUUGCUCUCAAAUUGCUAAAUAUUGUUGCUGUCAGCCUGUUAACAUUAAGUUUAGUUUUGCCAUGCUUAGCUUCUUAAAUAUGUUAUAUUACUGUUGGUUGACUUCACAUGCCAUGAAAUGCCUUGUGGUGAGUGGUUCAAGCUCACCAACAUGCCUACUUAUCGUUGUUCCUGCCAUGUGCUGUUAUUUUCACUAAGUCUUGAAUCUGUCAUAUCAUUUGCCAUGUUUGCAUGGCUGCUACCAUAUUUCUGUUGAUCUUUGGAAUAAGUUCAUUAAGGGAGUUUUGUUCUUUGUCUUUAGUAUUAGCACGCCAUGCCUUUUUUGCCAUGAUAAGUUCCUUUAGCAUGUUGUUUGAUAGCUCUAAACAUUGCAACCUGAUGUUAUUUUUGCCAUGCCCAGUGAAUUUCUGCCAAGUUUGUGAACUGUUAUUAUUUGCAAUCUUGCCAUGUCCUUUUGAGCAUGUUCUAGUGAUUUCUGGAGAUAUUUCUUUGUUCAUGUUUUGUAAUGCUUUACCUGUACAUCACGUCCAUGCCUUUUCUUUUCAUGUUGGAGUGCUGUAGCAUAUUGUUUUGAUGCUUGCAAGAUGUGCUGUUUUGGACAGCUUGUCCUUUAAACUUGUUUCAAGUGUAUGUGUUGAACCGUGGCUCCGUUUUGAACAUGUUCUAUUUUAAACUUGUGUAGUGUUGCAUGUAGUUUUAUGUUACCUUGUUGCAUCCAUGUUUUGAGGUGUGUGCUUGAUGUUUGUAUGCAUUUUGCAUCAAUGCCAUGUUUAACUUUUUUUGCUCAUAUCUUCUAGGCCGUAGCUCCGAAUUAAACGAACUUUAUAUGUAACUUGACUAGAAAACAGUGUAGAUCAUCUUGAUGCAUAUUAACUUGCUGUUUAACAACUUGAACGUAAGGUUUAUUCAAAUCUGGACCAAUUUCGAAAUUUGCAUAUGAGGACUUACCGGUAUUGUUAUAUGUUGUUUCCGGCCUCAUUUAAACUUGCUUUGAUGUGUUGCUCUUGUAUGCAUCAUCUCUUGCCUUGAGUAGCUUCAUGUAGCCUUGACAUGCAUCAUACUUGGUUGAGUAUCAUGUCAUGUUUAUGUGUUGUGUGUUUACCUUGUUGUUUGCUUCUUUCCGGUUGUGCUUCUUCUCGAUAGUUCCCGUUUCGUUGCGAUCAUGAGGAUUCGUUCGACUACGCUUGGUUCGUCUCGUGGCUUCAUCUUCUUCAUGGACUCGUUCUUCUUCCUAUGCGGGAUUCCAGGCAAGAUGACCGUCACCUUGGAUCUCACUACUACCAUUGCUAUGCUAGUUGUCUCGAUGCUAUCGCUAUGUCGCGCUACCUACCACCUGUUUAUCAAGCCUGCCAAAUUGCCAUGAAAACCUCUAACCUUUUCACCCUUCCUAGCAAACCGUUGUUUGGCUAUGUUACCGCUUUGCUCAGCCCCUCUUAUAGCGUUGCUAGUUGCAGGUGCAGUUGCAGGUUGUUCCAUGUUGGAAUAUGGAUAUCAUGAACUUUGUUGGGAUAUCACAAUAUCUCUUAUUUUAAUUAAUGCAUCUAUAUACUUGGUAAAGGGUGGAAGGCUCGGCCUUUUGCUUGGUGUUUUGUUCCACUCUUGUCGCCCUAGUUUCCGUCAUACCGGUGUUAUGUUCCUUGAUUUUGCGUUCCUUACGCGGUUGGGGUUAUGGGACCCCCUUGACAGUUCGCUUUGAAUAAAACUCCUCCAGCAAGGCCCAACCUUGGUUUUAACAUUUGCCACCUAAGCCUUUUUCCCUUGGGAGUCGCGCUCCCGAGGGUCAUCUUAUUUUACCCCCCCCCCCCCGGGGCCAGUGCUCCUCUGAGUGUUGGUCCAAACUAGAGCACCAUGCGGGACCGUCCCUUGGCAACUUGGGUUACGUUGGUACUUGUACGCUUAGCUUAUCCGGUGUGCCCUGAGAACGAGAUAUGUGCAGCUCCUAUCAGGAUUUGUCGGCACAGUCGGGUAGUCUUGCUGGUCUUGUUUUACCAUUGUCGAAAUGUCUUGUAACCGGGAUUCCGAGUCUGAUCGGGUCUUCCCGGGAGAAGGAAUAUCCUUCGUUGAUCGUGAGAGCUUGUGAUGGGCUAAGUUGGGAUACCCCUGCAGGGUUUGAACUCUCGAAAGCCGUGCCCGCGGUUAUGUGGCAGAUGGGAUUUAGUUAAUAUCCGGUUGUAGAAGACUUGAAGUAAACUCAAUUAAAAUACACCAACCGCGUUGCAUAACCGUGAUGGUCUCUUUUCGGGGAAGUUCGAGACGAGAACACGGUUGGGUUAUGGUUGACGUAAGUAGUUCAGGAUCACUUCUUGAUCAUUACUAGUUGGCGACCAUUUGCGUAGUUUCUCAUCUUAUUCUUGUAUUCGUAAGUUAGCCACCAUACAUGCUUAGUCGCUGCUGCAACCUCACCACUUUACCCCUUCCUUACCCACUAAGAUUUGCUAGUCUUGAUACCCAUGGUAAUGGGAUUGAUGAGUCCUCGUGGCUCGCAGAUUAUUACAACAACAGUUGCAGGUACAGGUUGUGCGAUGAUGAUGAUGCGAGAGCGAUGUUUACUCGUGUUGGAGUUCUUCUUCUUCGUCGAUCUUGGGUUAGGUUCCUGGUCGGCAGCCUGGGCUAGCAGGGUGGUUAUUGUUUGAGUUUCUGUUUGUGUAUCAUCCAUAGUCGGAUGUUGAUCUCUUGUAUGAUGUUGAUGUAUUCUUGGGGCGUUUGUGCCUUUUGUAUGUAUCCCCAUCUAUUAUGUAAUGUUGAUGUAAUGAUAUCCACCUUGCAAAAGCGUGUCAAUAUGCGGUUCUAUCCUUGGUGGGACCUUCGAGUCUCUUUAGGAUAGUAUCGCAUAUUGGGUGUGACAAUGCUAAUGGGUAGUUGUGGAUUGUAUAAAUACUUGUGUUGAGGAUUGUGAUUCCCGUAGCAUGCACGUACGGUGAACCGUUAUGUAACAAAGUCGGAGCAUGAUUUAUUUAUUUAUUAUCUUCCUUAUGAGUGGCGGUCGGGGACGAGCGAUGGACUUUUCCUACCAAUCUAUCCCCCUAGGGGCAUGCGUAGUAGUACUGUGCUUCGAGGGCUAAUAAACUUUUGCAAUAAGUAUAUGAGUUCUUUAUGACUAAUGUGAGUCCAUGGAUUAUACGCACUCUCACCCUUCCAUCAUUGCUAGCCUCUUCGGUACCGUGCAUUGCCCUUUCUCACCUCAAGAGUUGGUGCAAACUUCGCCAGUGCAUCCAAACCCCGUGAUACGAUACGCUCUAUCACACAUAAGCCUCAUUAUAUCUUCCUCAAAACAACCACCAUACCUACCUAUCAUGGCAUUUCCAUAGCCAUUCCGAGAUAUAUUGCCAUGCAACUUCCAUCAUCAUCAUAUACAUGACUUGAGCAUUUAUUGUCAUAUUGCUUUGCAUGAUCGUAAGAUAGCUAGCAUGAUGUUUUCAUGGCUUGUCCGUUUUUUGAUGUCAUUGCUACGCUAGAUCAUUGCACAUCCCGGUACACCGCCGGAGGCAUUCAUAUAGAGUCAUAUCUUUGUUUUAGUAUCGAGUUGUAAUAUUGAGUUGUAAGUAAAUAAAAGUAUGAUGAUCAUCAUUAUUAGAGCAUUGCCCCAGUGAGGAAAGGAUGAUGGAGACUAUGAUUCCCCCACAAGUCGGGAUGAGACUCCGGACUUUAAAGAUAAAUAAAAGAGGCCAAAGAAGCCCAAAUAAAAAAGAGGCCAAAGAAGCCCACCAAAAAAGAGAAAAAACAAAAAAUAUAAAAAAACAAAAAAAUGAGAGAAAAAGAGAGAAGGGGCAAUGUUACUAUCCUUUUAACACACUUGUGCGUCAGAGUAGCACCAUGUUCUUCAUAUAGAGAGUCUCUUGAGUUAUCACUUUCAUAUACUAGUGGGAAUUUUCAUUAUAGAACUUGGCUUGUAUAUUCCGAUGAUGGGCUUCCUCAAAUUCCCGAGGUCUUCAUGAGCAAGCAAGUUGGAUGCACACCCACUUAGUUUUCAGUUUGAGCUUUCAUACACUUAUAGCUCUAGUGCACCCGUUGCAUGGCAAUCCCUACUCCUCACAUUGACAUCAAUUGAUGGGCAUCUCCAUAGCCCGUUGAUUAGCCGCAUUGAUGUGAGACUUUCUCCUUUUUUGUCUUCUCCACACAAACCUCCAUCAUCAUAUGCUAUUCCACCUAUAGUGCUAUAUCCAUGGCUUGCGCUGAUGUAUUGCGUGAGGGUUGAAAAGGCUGAAGCGCGUUAAAAAGUAUGAACCAAUUGCUUGGCUUGUCAUCGGGGUUGUGCAUGAUUUGAAUGCUUUGUGUGGUGAAGAUGGAGCAUAGCCAGACUAUAUGAUUUUGUAGGGAUGAUCUUUCUUUGGCUAUGUUAUUUCGAUAAGACAUAAUUGCUUGGUUGGUAUGCUUGAAGUAUUAUUGUUUUUAUGUCAAAAGAUAGACUAUUGCUUUGAAUCACUCGUGUCUUAAUAUUCAUGCCAUGAUUAGAUUACAUGAUCAAGAUUAUGCUAGGUAGCAUUCCACAUCAAAAAUUAUCUUUUUUAUCAUUUACCUACUCGAGGACGAGCAGUAAUUAAGCUUGGGGAUGCUGAUACGUCUCCGUCGUAUCUAUAAUUUUCGAUCGUUCCAUGCCAAUAUUAUUCAACUUGCAUAUACUUUUGGCAACUUUUUAUAUUAUUUUUGGGAUUAACAUAUUGAUCCAGUGCCCAGUCCAGUUCCUGUUUGUUGCAUGUUUUAUGUUUUGCAUAAACCCCAUAUCAAACGGAAUCUAAACGGGAUAAAAAUGGACGGAGAAUAUUUUUGGAAUAUUUGAAAAAUAUGGGAAGAAGAAUCAACGCGAGACGGUGCCCGAGGUGGCCACGAGGCAGGGGGCGCGCCUACCCCCCUCGUGGGCCACCCGUAAGGCGGUUGCUGCUCUUCUUCGGCCGCAAGAAAGCUAAUUUUCAGAAGAAAAAAAUCUCGGCGAAGGUUUCAAUCCAAUCGGAGUUACGGAUCUCCAUAUAUAUAUACGAAACGGUGAAAGGGCAGAAUACCAGAACGCAGAAACAGAGAGAGACAGAGAGACAGAUCCAAUCUCGGAGGGGCUCUCGCCCCUCCCACGCCAUGGAGACCAUGGACCAGAGGGGAAACCAUUCUCCCAUCUAGGGAGAAGGUCACCUUCCCCCCUCUAUCUACAGCGGUCCACUCUUCCACAACCCGCUGUACCCUCUACUUGAACAUGGUGCUUUGUACUUCAUAUUAUUAUCCAAUGAUGUGUUGUCAUCCUAUGAUAUCUGAGUAGAUUUUCGUUGUCAUAUCGGUGGUUGAUGAAUUGCUAUGAUUGAUUUAAUUUGCUUGUGGUUAUGUUGCUGUCCUUUGGUGCCCAUCAUAUGAGCGCGCGCGUGGACCACACCAUAGGGUUAGUUGUAUGUUGAUAGGACUAUGUAUUGGAGGGCAAGAGUGACAGAAACUUCAACCUAGCAUAGAAAUUGAUGCGUACGGGAUUGAAGGAGGACCAAUAUAUCUUAAUGCUAUGGUUGGGUUUUACCUUAAUGAACGUUAGUAGUUGCGGAUGCUUGCUAAUAGUUCCAAUCAUAAGUGCAUAGAAUUCCAAGUCAGGGAUGACAUGCUAGCAGUGGCCUCUCCCACAUAAAACUUGCUAUCAGUCUAGUAAAGUAGUCAAUUGCUUAGGGACAAUUUCGCAACUCCUACCACCAGUUUUCCACAUUCUCUAUACUAACUUUAUUGCUUCUUUAUCUAAACAGCCCCUACUUUUAUUUACGUGCUCUUUAUAUUCUUGCAAACCUAUCCAACAACACCUACAAAGUACUUCUAGUUUCAUACUUAUUCUAGGUAAAGCGAACGUUAAGCGUGCGUAGAGUUGUGUCGGUGGUCGAUAGAACUUGAGGGAAUAUUUGUUCUACCUUUAGCUCCUCGUUGGGUUCGACACUCUUACUUAUCAAAAGAGGCUACAAUUGAUCCCCUAUACUUGUGGGUUAUUAGUAGAUGGGAGGGGGCAAGGUACGCUGUGCCUUGGCCACAACAAGGCACUGGAUCUCGAUCCGUUAUUGGGCUGAUCCAAAAUAAACCAAAUUCCAGCACCCAGUUCCACUUGCACAUGCAUGGGCGGGCACAAGGAAACAUGCAAGCAGAGGCACAUCACCCACUGACCAAACCAUCGGCGUCACCACCACACACAGUCACAGGGUGACGCGUAGUAGGCCAUAUGCUGACAGAGACGUCCAUACCCUGCAUGCCAUCUCUUCUGGCCCUCUCUAUCCACGUGUAGGCGUACUAUAUCUCAUACGAGCAUGGUUAAUAGUAUAGCCAGCUGAUGUCUAUAUAGACAUGACAUGUCAUCAAAAGUUAGCAUUAUUAAUUACUCAUACAAUAGAGCUGAUUAUAAGAUUGGCUACAAGUUCACAACUUUUUUUCAUUUUCUUUCUUUCUUUCCUCUCAUUAAAGCUUUUGCAUAGAAGCACGUAUAAAGGUUGGCUCUUGCAUAAGAGCCCACUUCAUCACUUUUUUCUUGUCUCUCUCCUCUAUAUAAGCGGGCUUAUAGCCCACUAUUGUACUUGCUCUACUAGAAGAAGAAACUAAAAGAGAGAAACGUACUGUCAUGGAGCAACAGUGUGUGGUACUGUAUGAUCAUAAGCGUAACUUUCCUCCUCCAUAGAGCAACAGUUUAACUGUUGAUGCACAUUUUUUUGCGGGUGAAAUAAUGUAUUACUCAAUCUCAAGGUCCAUACAAUCAAUCACUGCAAACUCCAAUGCCUCUGAAGGCCCCGAACCUAUCCAAGUCAUGGUUCUACCUUCUAGACGAGCAAACUUAGCUAGACUAUCACUAACCUUAUUUUGACUACGAUUGAUAUGAGUAAUACAAGAAUCACGAAGACACAUAAGGUAACGGAUCUCCUUAGUGAGCGACGCGUAAACAGAUCUGUCCACCUCCUGAGCCUGUAUCAGCUUCACUGCAACAAUGGAAUCCACCUCGAUCAUGCUACGUAGGACACUCCUCUGGAUAGCAAAUGACAAACCCUCCAUGCAAGCACACAAUUCAGCUUCUAGGGCUUCGCGACAUGAGAAAAGCUGCCUACACGAAGAAAAAAUUAUAGAACCCUUGUCAUCUCUCAGCACCAUGCCAGCGCCUGCCGAUCCAUCAUCUGCAUACGAGCCAUCAGUGCACAACUGCACCCAGCCGGCCUUGGGUGCAAUCCACUUGGGAUGAGCAACAUUUGUUAUCACAUGUGACCGCCGGGGAUGAAUAUCAUAUGUGAUAACAGAUUUUCCCUUACUAGGAUCGGAAGAGAGAACAGUUCUAAUGCCAAUAAGAGAGUCAAGGUAGCUCACCAAGAAUCGUUUCGAAGCUUCCAUAGGCGGUACAGGCUUAUGAUGGAUGACCUCAUUCCUGAUGUACCACGCCCGCCAAAGCGUCAUUAGCAACAUGGAACGCUCAAUUUCCGGCAGUGUCUCUAACACAUGCAGCAGCCAUUCUGUACCAGAAUUAUGCAUGGAUGUAAUACACGGCAAGGUCCACACAUCCGCCAUUGUUUCCCAUAAGAUACGUGAGAAAGUGCACCGGCAUAAUGAGUGGAAACAGUCCUCAGUCUCUGUAGCACACAACGGACAUAAAUCAGUUGUUUCAAGGCCACGUACAUGCUUGUUUCUCCAUGUUGGCAAAGAAUCUGUAGCGACCCUCCAGGCAAAAUUUCGUACUGUUGGUGGAACCUCUGUAGACCAAAUAAGCUGCCAGCAUGAGCGCGCACCAUCUGGUCGGGAGCUAGACCCGGUUGUUGCGCUCCUGUGGGCUUCGUCGAAGCCGAAUUGAUAUGCACUCUUUACUGAAAAUACUCCGUAUUUACUAGGACCCCAAGCCAAAGUAUCUUCCUCCAAGCGCGGCGACGUCCUGAUCUUCAUGAUCUCGGUCACAUCCGCCGGCAAAAAAUAUUCAUGCAGUAAUGCUUGGUUCCAAGCCCCUUGCUCAUUUAGCAACUCCGAGACAAAACGAAUUCUGCACCUUCCCUGCAUGGUGAUCAGUUUAAAGGAGAACGGUCUCGGGAUCCAAUUAUCACGCCAAACCCGAAUACUCCUACCGUUUCCCACCCUCCAGAUAAGUCCCUUCUUCAGAAGAUCAAGACCAUAGCUAAUAGUCUGCCAAGACGACGAAGCAUUAACAGAAAACACAGUGUCCUCAAGCUUACCCUCGGGGUAGUAUCUAGCCUUUAAGACUUGUGCACAUAGACUGUCGGGUUUCGAGAUUAAUCUACAAGCUUGCCUAGCUAACAAAGCUUGGUUAAAAAUACGGAAAUCACGGAAGCCAGCACCACCUUUAUUUUUUGGUUGUAACAGAUCAUUCCAAGCUCGCCAAUGCACUUUUCUUUUGCCCUUCUCAGACCCCCAAUAAAAACCUCUCACCAUCCUUGUAAGUUCAUCACAAACUGCAAAAGGUAGCUUAAACACCCCCAUGAUAUACGUGGGUAAAGCCUGAGCAACUGACUUAAUCAGUAUCUCCCUCCCAGGCUGGGCAAGUAGACCAUCACCCCACUGUAACAAUCUUUUAGUUAAUCUCAUUUGGAGGUUUUGAAAUCUACCUUUGGACAUGCGACCAUCAGGAGUAGGAAGACCAAGAUACUUUUCUUCGAAGAUCAAACUAGUAACAUUGAGCACUUCUCUAACUUCCUCCUGAGCAGCAAUAGGACAUGCAGCACCAAAGAGUAUCGAGCAUUUGUCAAAAUUUAGGCUUUGUCCUGUUGCUUUAUCAUAAAUAUCAAGAGCCAUUUUAACCUUUUCAGCCUGAGCACGUGAUGCCUCAAAAAACAACAUUGUGUCAUCAGCAAACAAAAGGUGUGAGAUACCUAGAGCUCUUCUACACACCUUCACCGGUGAUAUUUGACCCGAAGACACAAAAUGUUUGAGAAUUGCAGAUAAGCCAUCAGCCAUAAAAAGGAACAAAAAGGGAGAGAGAGGAUCGCCCUGCCGAAGCCCACGCGACGGUGUAAAUGAAUCCAAGAGGGUCCCAUUAAGUUUGACAGAAUAUCUCACCGAUGUGACACAAGACAUUAUCCAGUCCACCCACCGCUGAGAGAAACCCAACUUUUGCAUCACUUGCUUCAAGAACUUCCAAUCCACCCUAUCAUAUGCCUUAGAUAGGUCCAACUUAUAUGCACAAAAACUUUUUGUGGGAUCUUUUUUUGCUUGAUAUGAUGAAUACACUCAAAGGCCACAAGUGCAUUAUCCGUAAUCAUACGCCCAGGAAUAAACGCACUCUGCUCCGGAGAAACAAUGUCAUCAAGAAGUGGCCUCAACCGAUUGACUAGACACUUAGAGAUGACUUUAUAAAUAACAUUACAGAGACUGAUUGGCCUGUAGUGAGACAAGCUGGUAGGUUAGAAAUUUUAGGAAUAAGAACGAUAGACGUAGAAUUUACCCCUGCCGGCAUGAGUCCUGUUCUGAAAAAUUCUUUGACUGCUUCUAUGACACUGUCCUUCAAAGUUACCCAAUUACGCUGAAAAAACCGCGCCGGCAGACCAUCGGGACCAGGUGCCUUUAAAGGACCGAUCUGAAAUACGCAUCUGAAAUCUCUGUAUCACCAAAUGGAGCGCAUAACCGUACAUUAUCCUGAUCUGAAUUUUUUUUCCUCAAGUAGAUCGAGAACUAGGGAAGCAUCAAGUGUUGUAUCAGCCGUGAAUAUACCUUGAAAAUAAUCAUUUGCCAAGGUCGCCAUCUCCUCAAAAUUAGAGUGAACCACUCCAAUGCUAUCUGUUAACUCACGUAUUUUAUUUUUGCGAGCCCGCCAAACAGCUUUACUUUGGAAAUACUUGGUGUUUCUAUCACCCUCUUCCAGCCACAAAAUUCUUGACCUUUGAAGCCACAUCAUCUCUUCUUGAUAAAUCAACUCGUUCAUCUUAUCCGUGAUAUUUCUGAUUUCCUGCCUAUCCGCAUUCAUACUCAUAAGCUCCUCAAGCUGAGAACGUGACUUGGCUAGCUCUCUAGAGAUAUUACCAAACUUCUUGUUACUCCACGUACUGAGGGUAGCCAAAGUUUUUCUUAGCGCGCAUUGUAGCUUCUCCAAAUUGUCCACUACUAUUAUCUUUGAUACGGAUUAACUGUUGAUGCACAUGUGCCUUAACUUCCGUGGCGCACUGCAUCAUGCAGGCGGGCGCGGCCGAGACGCAUGCAUGGGUCCAAAGAUCUCCAGCCAGCCAGCCCGAGCCUGCAAGGACACCAGUCAGUCGAAGCACCGAAGCAAGGACGCAGUGCCCAAGGAACGAUCAAUGUGCGCCAUCCAUGGCCGGCACGGGCGCACGAUCGGAGAAUAUACAUAGAUAGAUUAAUGCUGGCAGGGCCGGCCCUGGGUAGGGGGCAGGAAGUGCGACGGCCUAGGGCACAGCCUGAUUAGGGCCCCGACCUCUGUGUGUAUUUCAGCCAAUCGUUCGUUUAAGUUGAUAAACAGUAGCUGAUACAAUCCUUAGCCGAUGUUUGUUCUCCCCUCGUCCGUCCUGUUGUUCUCUAUUCCGCUCCUCUUUCAAAGCACCUAGCAUUAUUGAUUAGAGGUAAUAUUAUCGGGAGUCAUAUAACUUGUGCUCAAUAUUCAGUUUGGUGCUAAAAUUAUAAAAAUACGGAUUUGUGGUCAUCCAACUUGCGUUUUUGUGCAAAUACAGUCACUUCACCAAGUACCAGUUCGUGUCUACGCGACAAGAAAUGCUGAAUUAUAUAUGUUGGAGACGACGGCUCCUCUAUUCAGGUGGACUUUUUUUUUGUUAAACCAUAUUUAGACGUUACCUCAUUUCGAAUUUUUGGGCGAAAAAACUGAAAUUGCCAAGAUAUUUCGAAACCCAGAUUUUUCGAUGCCCUGAAAAACUGGAAUAAAAAAAUUCUCUUUUGCAAAAGAAAAAAUCUCGCUCAUAAAAAAGUUUGUAUGCCAUGGUAUAAAUAUUGUUCAUUUUGACGCGGUUUUUUUUUGUUUGAACUUAUUUGACAAAAAAAGGAAUCCAAAAAAAAUCUGUGUCUAAUAUUAAGCCAAGUGUACCUCUUUGUACGGAUGUAUAUGUUGUUGGUGAAGUGGUUUGCUAGUGCGUGCAUGGACCUAAUGUCGGGAGUACCCGCAUGCAUUUUUUGUUCUCGUUUCUCUCGCCACCUUGUUCAUAAAUGGGACCCACGUGCGUCCGCUUAAUUAAAUAUGGAAUGAGGGUGCUUCUGCAAAAAGAAAAAAACACACUAAGCUGUUCCAGACACUGAUAGUGGGCCAUAGCCACGCUGGCGUGCCACACUAUAGUCUGAAUAUCAGCGAAGUGACCGUAUUUGCACGAGAAUGCAAGUUAGAUGAUCACAAAUUCGUAUUUUUAAAGUUUUAGCACCAAACUGAAUAUCAAGUGCAAGUUAUAUGACUCCCGACGAUAUUACCUCUAUUGAUUAUGGUUGGUUCCUUUGAUCACCCUUAACUUUUUCAUUAUUACUUCCUUAUAGAUUUCUCUUUUCUUUUCCUGCAGCACACUGCCUAUAAGAAGUCCGGCCCAUCUGUGAGCAGCGGCAGGGGCACGGGCAGGGGCAGGCUGGCAGAACCUCAUCAGCCCCAUUUGCUUUCCAACCAGGAUGGACACCGCCUCAAAAAGAUCUAGUAUUUUUUAAGUCCAUUUUCCAUUUGAUCUUUUUAUAGUUUGUUUAAUUUUGGCUCCCUGAUUGGUCUUCUCGUUGCGUACAAUUUGCUCAAACAGGGAAUCGAGGACAGAGCGAGGACCAUUGAAGUCCAAGAUGUUUGGAAUUGGAUAGUUCAAUCUCUACUUUUCUCCUCCAACGAUUCAGGUGUUCCCUCUUUUCCUAUACUAGGUAUCGCUCGUGCGUUGCAACGGGAAUAAACGGUCUGAUGGCAAUAAAACUGGACUAUCGUGGAAGAAACCACUACCAUAGCAGUGUCAACGGGUUGGCAGAAAAGUAUUAGUUCUCGGCCAUAUUCAUUUAGUUCCAUGUAUGUUCAUUACCCCUUCUUAAAAUAUCAUAUAUAUCUAAAUAUAGUCUAAAUGUACAAAAAUAUUAUUUUAAUUAGUAAUCUAAAAUAUCUUAUAUUUAUUUUUCUCGCAAAAAACAUCUUAUAUUUGUUGACAGAGGGAGCAGUAAAUUAUCAUAUCAAAAUGUCCCUGCAUAUAUGACUAUAACAAAAUCCAAGAUAAUAUAAUCACAACAACCAUUUUUGUGCAUAAAUAAUUCAGUUUUUCUACAAUUAGAUUACGUGAUGCAAAUCUAAAUCUAUAUCUCUAAGUUCUUUAUUGAGGGUAGAAAUAGUACACACCACCUCAUUGUAUACUUCUGAAACCUUUUUCAAGAAAUGAGCAAAACUAAAUUGCAUCACAUUAAGUUAAAAAUUAAAAUAGGAAAUGCUUUGGUACACCCCUUAAAAAGUUGCACAGAUCUCAAUCCAGAUCAGUGGUAGUACAAAUUAGAAGAACUAAUCUAUUGGGCCAAAAAGGACAAUAUGGUCAUCUCCCAUGCAAGAUGAUGGUCGACGGCGAGCACGUUGAUCACCCGAAGAGAGUCGCAGACGUCGGCCAUGCAGACGACGGUGGCCGCGACAGACUCGCCGUUGUGUGGGACCUCGAGGUCGUCCUCCUCUCGCCACUGUGCCAUGGCCCCGGGGCCUCUUCCGCGCUGCGCUGUUCAUUGUGGUCGUCACCGUCGGAGGGCAGCGCCUUCAAAGCUCGCGGCUUCCUCCCUUUGCUUGCGGAGGGAAAGGACACACAUGCAUCUCGUUUAACAUUCCCCUUUUUGUCUGCCAACCGCGCUGCCUCCAUCUCUGCCGGCUGAAACAAUUUUGACCCGACAAACAGCGGCGGGCACGUAUCAGGAUGGUGUUUCGACCCCACCGACAAUAGAUAAGCAGAGGGCGCCCAAAAUCCAUAUAUCCGCAUGUUGAUUCCUCAUGAACACGCACGCACACAUACACAAGAUUGAUCAUCGGGGUUCUGACAAUCGCCAGCUAGGCGGAACAUCGCGCUGCGGCAUGCGGCUGGAGGUGGGAGAUGAUUAGUGGCAUCUAAAAGUUCAGGACUACUAAGAACGGAGCAACGGAGGAAAGCCACGGGAGAAAGGAGAAGGUCCCUAAAUUCCUCACGUGAAAAUCUUUCUCUUCCAUGAAAUCUCUCUCUCUCUCUCUCUCUCUCUAUGAGUCACGAUGUUUCAGGAGAUAUUUUUUCGACCAUGUGAUGUGGGAGAAAAAACCAGGAUGUGGAUCAAUCCGGGGAAUGAGGGACGGAAACUUCGUAAGAGGGGAGACGGAACACUACAUCUUUUUUAGGUAAUAGUAGAGAAGAUACUAUAAAAAUGUUUCCUAAAACGAAUUUUCGGUUGUUGCCAAAACUUCCUACCAUAUAAAUGUCCAUGAUGUAUUAUUUAGACCUUAUUUGCUAAUGACUUCCUGCUACCGUAUAUUGGCAAAAAAAAAAAGACUUCCUGCUACCGUAGUUUCCUUUUGAAAUUGGAAGUCGAAUAAAAUUUUGUUAUAUAUAUCUCUAUAAAUGAAAUUAUGGACUAUGUUGUAGUUGCUAUCUCCAUGGGCCCAGUUUUUGAAGUUCGCCCCGGGCCUCGGAAAAGUCAGGACCGGCCCUGAAUGCUGGUACACGUCGAAAAUAAAGAAAGAGGUAAUAUUACUGGGAGUCAUAAAACUUGCGUGUAAUGUUUAAUUUGGUGCUCAAACUUUCAAAAUACAGAUUUCUAGUCACAUAACUUGACAUCCGGUGCAAAUACGAUGCUUUCUCUCGUAUUCGGUCGUACGACGUGUCCUAUGUGGCGGGCCAGCGCGGCACAGGUCCACCUGUUAGUGUCUAGAAGCAAAUUUAUUGCAGAUAACUCCCUUAUAUUUUAGUUAUUUACGUAUUAAAUUCCUUAGAUAAUGAAAAAAAAACUGCGGCAACAUGGUUUGUACACAUGAUCUUCUGCUUGGUGACUCGAAUAGCUAGCCACCGGUACAAUCACUUUGUAUGUCUAACCUGCACAAAUUACUUUUACAUAUAUCUUGUCAAUACGAAUAGUACAAAUUAUAUUUUUCGAAAGCUUACGGGAGCACCGCUGUUCGGACCUGUGACCUUCUGGUCGAAACUCACGUGUACAUGGGCUUACCACUAGACCAGGUUUAUACCUAAUGUUUUAGGGACAAUUCCAUUUCUCCCCCUGACUUGAACCCACACCUGGCAUUUGCCCCUAAAUUUCGAGUAUGCUCAAAAAUACCCCUUUUCCGUCAAGUGUCCUUAUAGAAAUGCCCCUCCGUACAACUUCCGUCUGGUCAAAGGCCUUUGACCGUCUCUGAGACAUUUUUCAGACAUUUUUGCCCCUUCUGACAGAUGGGACCACACGUUGUUUCUUUAUUAUGUAAAACGUUAUUUACCAGAUUAUUGGAAGGGGGUCCACUGGUCAGCAUUUAAAAUACUAACUACUCUAUAUUGGUUAAGAACUAGUAAUUGUGUUUAGCCCUAAUUUAACCUCACACGGGCACAUCCGACGAGUGUGCAGCACGCCGGCGACGCACCAGAUGGCACGGGAGCACGCAAGGAGGGGGGGUUCAAGGAGCGCUUGAGCUCAAUGGGGCUGCGGCGGACUAGUCAAGCACGAUAGUAGGAUGCGGGACCUUCACAACCCACGACAACUGCGAUCUCCGUCGGCGGCGAGCGGCGGCGCUAGGUGGGGUGGCGCUAUGUGGCUCGGGCAGGCUCUGGAAAGAGGGCAAAAUGGCCAAGGGAUCACCAGGAACUCGAGGACAUGCUCAGACGAGGAAGGGCGAGCAUAGCCGAGGAGAUCAGGGCGCGGCGGAGCACCACCCGUGGCGGAGAAGAUGAACACCAUGGAGACGAUUUGUGGCACCUCCGUUCAAUUCAUUCAAAGGUAACACUCUAUAGGUAGAGGCGAACCUAACAGGUGUGUUUUCUGAGCUUCGAGUUGACUCUGACCACGAACUACGCCGGCGACGGCACGUACGAACAGACAAGGGAGGACUGAGCCUAGGUGGUUGCGUGGACUUUCGGCAUAGAACAGGCACGCACGAGCAGGAGACAAUGUGUGAAGGUUGCUGCAGCGCCCUUCUGCUGCCCGCUGCUACUGCUCGCCGGCGGCGAGCUACUGCGGUUGCGUCCAGAGACAGAGUGAGGGGAGGAGGGAGAGAGGGAGAGUUUUUUUCUCUUUCUGGGUCCCACAUGUAAGUUGCAGAGAGAGUUUUUAUUUUUAUUUUUUGGGGUUGGGCACUAUAUGUAAAUGACAAAUGGAGGUAGGGGCAAGAACGUCCAAGGAAUUGUUUGGAGACGGUCAAAAGCCGUUGACCAGACGGAAACGGCAUGGAGGGGCAUUUCUAUAAGGACACUUGACGGAAGAGGGGUAUUUUUGAGCAUACUCGAGAUUUAGGGGCAAAUGCCAGGUGUCGUGGGUUUGUCACGGCAGAUGUCCUAGCAAAAGGACUUAGUCGUGGAGCCAUCGCAACGGGUUAGCUUAAAGGGGUUAAAGCGGGCAAAGGACACGAGGGUUUAGACUGGUUCGGCCCCUUACGAUGAAGGUAAAAGCCUACGUCCAGUUGUGGUGGAAUUGUUGUGGUCUCGAGGAUCAAGGAGCGGAAUCGCUUUACCUAGAUCUCGAGUUGUUAUUUCUUGUCCUUGAACCGCCGCCGGGUCGUGCCUUUAUAUACACAGGUCGACGCCCGCCGGCUUACAGAGUCCCGAUGCCGGUUUAUACACAUACCGGCUCGGUCUCUACUUUGUCAUACCUUACAAUACAAGUCAUGUACUACAUGGCGGUUUAUAGCUACAGGCCUUAAUCUAUCUUUGGGCCUUGGGCCUUCGAGUCUGUGUAGUAAACCGCUUUAUUCCUUGUCUUCAUGGGCUUUUAAGUAUAAACAAUCCAUUAUGGGGAUAAUCCGGCUUCCUUGGCCGGUUUACACCUAAUAGUAAUAUCCCCAACAUUAGGCCCCAGAUUGAUUUGAACUGGUUCAUGUCAAUCUCCAAAACUUUGAGAAAAUUUCUUCUUCCAUAUCUUCGCAUAAAUCUUGUAAACCGCCAUGACGUCAUCAUCCAGAGUCAUAAUAAACCGCCAUGACGUUAUUUGUUAUUUUAAAUGGUAUAUUCCUUACCUUCAUUAAUGAGCCUCCGACAAUCGAGGCGACAAAUCUGUCACAUAUCCAUUUGUUAGGCUCCUCGAUUCUUGCGCUUGACCCUUAUCCUUUCGUCUUUAUAAAUACGGCCGAGGGUCCUUUCCAUUUUCCCCCUUUCUCUUCGUCUCCUUAUUCUUCCUCGCGACGUCUCAGAACUCGAGCUUUGUCGCCGCCGUCGACCUUCGUAUCUGCAUCAACCAAGGCCGCUGCAUCAACCUAAUCGAACCAGAGCAACGCGGCGCUCCUCCGCUGUUCCACAGCACCGGUGAGUUCAUUUCCUUUUCAACCUCAGAUCUGCAUUAGGGUUCCGCUGUUCGUCGGUGUUCUUCCCUGUUCGUCUUCUUUCUGUUCUUAGAUCUCAUAACUUGAUUUGCAACUGAUAGUAGAAGUAGGCGAUGAUACUCUAGUGUCCUUUACCAACCUCAGAAAACACCUUUUACUGCCUGAGAUCCAAUCAAACAAACGGGUUCUUCCACUGCCACCAUUUUAGGUUAAAUUUAUUUUCUCUUUUUAGAACUGUGGCAAAUCCAAAUUUAUACCACCGAUCUGUGAAAUCUGUUUGCGCCAUACUUAGAAAUUUUUGUAAAUCUGUAGCCUCUAUACCAUUGUGGGCGGUUUAUCCUUUAAACUUUGAUAACUCAUCAGAUACCAUUAGCCCUCUGUUAACCCGCCAACCUGCUUUAAAUGCUAAAAUCCGGUUUAGUACACCCAAAUGCUUGAAAUAUCAUCGUCUUCCAUCAUUGCACCGGUUUGUAAGUUGUAACCAUGAACUUUAACCCGGAUACCAUGCUUUUUUCCAGCUUGUCACCAGAAAUGGCCAAACAAUUCUGUUCCUGUAAUUGGGUUCCUUCCCGGGUUACGGAAGCGCAGCUGGCUGGUUGUGUUGCAACGGGCACUUUAGCAAAUAAGGACACUAUCCAUUGGCGAGUCCCCGGUCCAGAAUUUCCUCCUGAACCCCAAGACGGAGAAGUUAUUAUAUUUGCUGAUCACCUGAGCCGAGGCUUCACUCCUCCCGGAUCAAAAAUUUUCCGUGACGUGCUCGUCGACUUUCAAAUCCAUCCCCAAGAUAUCGGUCCAAACUCCAUAUCCAAUAUUUAUGACUGGCAAGUAUUCUGUGAAGUGUAUCUGCAAGAGGAGCCUACUGUUGAUCUGUUCCGGGGUUUCUUUUAUCUAAACCGCCGUACUGAGUUUACGGAUGGCCCCAAUACUGAACUAGGCGGGGUUUUAAUUCAGAAGAGGAGAGAUGUUGAUUUCCCUCAUGCCAAGCUUCAUAGUCAUCCUAAGGACUGGAAUCAGACUUGGUUCUACUGCCGCAACACAGCCCCAGCCAAUGAAAAUCCUUUGCCGGGUUACCGUCCACACCGGCUUACCCAAGCUCAUCCCUUUCCUCAACGGCUGACCGCCCAGGAGCGAGCAAAAUAUGCCCCUCAACUGGCAAAGCUCAGAGCCUUUGUUGCAAAUGGGCUGACAGGCGUGGAUUUCGUCCAAUGCUGGGUUUCAUGGAGCGUUUUACCUUUAAGCCGGCGGCCCGGUUUAAUGUGUGAAUACACAGGGGAUCUGAAAGACCCGCAACGCCAUAUUGACAUCCAGCUGACUGAUGAUGAAGUCACCGAAGCUGUUAAAAAGAUGCUUAAUGAGCCAAUAGAUGUAUGCAGCAAAACCGGGCUCAGUCCUUUCUAUGCUUCCAAUAAACCGCCAAAGGUAUAAUCUACCGUAUUUCUGCCUUUAUCCAUCCUUUGUUAAAUUUCUCCUUUGAUGACUUACUAUUUGUCUAUGCAGGCCGAUGAUCCAUUCUGGAAGAAAAAUCACAAGAUAAAUCGGUAAAGAAUUCUCGGCUUAAGACCAAGGCUUCAAAAAAGCCUAUGAAAAGAAGGAACGUUGAACCGUCCGAGCCCAUUAUUGAUGAUGAUCUGGAUAUUCCGGAUUCAGAGGUAGAACUUGACUCUCUCGGUUCAUUUUUUAUACACCUUAUUGACAAUGAUCAUUAUCAGGAUGAAGCGGAAGCCAGCCAUGCUGAUGAGGUAACUAUUCUUUCUUCUGAUUCUGAUCCUGUGCCAGUACCAAGAAUCCGUCGGACCAUUCGGAAGUAAAAUUUUCAUGCCCUCUUUCUUAUUUGGACUUGCACUUUCUUUUAAAGAUGCAGCAGCAUGAAGCUCGUCGCACAACUCGACAUAGCGGCCAAGUGGUGACCUCCUCCGGUUUACCAAAUUCGCCGGUUCGCAAACGCCGCCAAGAGGUUGCUUAUACUCCUGACACCCUUUACCCUAAGGCGGGUUACAUCCGAUAUCCUCUUAAUCCGUCUGACUCAAAUUAUCAGGGAACUUCCCAUUCAUCGUCCGGUGAGUCGUCAGCGACACAACUUCCUCCUCUGAAAACCGUCCAUGGGUAGGCAUAACAUACUUUUAACUUUUUGGUCUUGUAUUAUAUUGUCAUAUCGAUCUUUGUGUCUGCUCUUUUUCAGUGCUAAAGCCAAACCAAGCAAGAAGGCUAGAUUGAAUAGGCCAACCGACCAUGAACCGGCUACCGAGCCGGAGAAAACCCCCGAGGCUAUUGACCCGGAGGCUAACACUGUUAUUGAUAAUCCGGAACCUCAAGCAACCGACACGCUUGUUGAACCGGUAGAGAAUAAUCCAACAAGCCAGUCAGCUGAUCCACUAAGUCCAACUGUUGAUCCGCCGAGUCCGGCUAAAGCAUCCGAUAAACCGCCAAGCCCUGCCAAAACUACGGACGACGAUGUUGUCGUAACUGGCCUUGGUUUCAGCUCCCCUGGUCGUCCUGUCGCGUUAUCAAAGCAUAGCGCCAAAGAAGAAAUUCCUGCUAUGGACAAAGGGAAAUGGAAAUCUGAGUUAUCCAAUUAUACCAACCUCAGCGCUGAAGACCUUCAUUCUGGUUUUUUAAACCGCCUGUAUACAAGCCGCGACUUUGAAGCCGGUUUAGUAGGCCUGAUGAAGGAGCGGUAUGAGGUAAAUGUCACUUUCCCUUUGCAUAAAUAUUCCAAUAGUCCUUUUGUUAGAACUGGUCUAACGUAUCAACUCCAGUAGCCCCCAAGGGCCAGUGCAUAACAUUGGUUUGAACCGGGUCUUGAAUCGAUAUUUGCAUUUUGCUGGUGUAGCCCCCAUGAACCGGCUUAUAUCUUUUUAGAAUGAACCGGUACAUCUUAUUAAUCUCACCACUUAUAAUGAUGACAAUCCAUCUGAAUCUGAACGAAUACGCAUUAGCCCCCAAGUGUCAAGUAGAUAACUUGUUGUGUGGUUGGGACUUCAAUGUUGUAAUGCUAACUUAUUAUCUGUAUUUUGCAGGCUGAGUUGUCCAAAAAAGACUCCCAAAUCACAGAUCUCCAAGGAAACAUCAAGUCUCAGCAAGACGAAACUUGCAAAGUUAAGAGCGAGCUGACCACCGCUUUAACAACCAUGGAGCAGCUGAAGGAAUUCUUCAAAGGCGAACGGGCAGAUUGGGAAACUGAAAAAAACCACCUUGUUAAAGCGGGCAAAAGAUGCGGAAAACGCCCUUAAACUGGCCACAGAAGAGCUGAGCAGCCUGAAGCGGCAGAUUGAUGCCAUGACCUCUGCCAUCUUUGGUAACAAUCUCUUCACCAAUAUGUAACACAACCAGUUAUAAAACUGUCGGUUUAAUAACAAUAUGAUCCUUUUGCAGGUAGCCAUGUUACUCAUCUCUGCGCAGAUAUGUGCAAAAAAUUGAAGGCCGUCUAUACUUUGGUAGAGUAGCUUUAUACCGGCGCGCAACGAGCCAUCUGCACAGCGCCCCCGUCGCUAAUCAAGGAAACGCUGGAAAAAUUGUCUAUGAUGCCUGCCCGGAUUGUGGAAUUGAAGAAAUCCGCUGCUAGGUCCCGUGCCCUUACUGCACUGACGCGCGCCAAGGCCUGGAUCUCUGACCUUGAUCCGGAAGAUGUUGGAAAUGGUUACCCAAGCCAAAAAGAGGACGGUUCAGAAUUUAACAAUGACGAUCUCCGGGCUAUCACAAGAGAGAUGCGACCACUGGCAAGUAAGUUGGCUGAAGAUACUAACUUGUCAAUUUACCAGAAUGUAUAUGACGCCAGUGGCAAGCGAAUAAGUGCUCCAACUUAUGACGUGGAAAAUCUGAUCCCGCCGAUCCGUAAGCACACUUACGCUCCUGAUGUUGAACCGUCUGAUCUUAUACAAGACGAAGCUGUCUUUCAAGCCUUAUCAGGAAUUGAUUGGACAACUAUUGACUUCCAGCCACUGGGUGGAGAGAAGGAGGAUGAACCGGCGCAGGAAGAUCCGCAACCUUCACAUCAACCUGAGGCAGAAUCAUAAUCCGGAAGCCGGUUUAACUUGUGCCUAUUGUCAUCCUUGUGAAAAACAAUCAUUCUUAUGGGCAGUCGAAACGCCUUGUAAUAGGCUAGCUUGAACAGCUGAUCUGAUAUGCCAUCGUGCAUACUUGUUGCACACAAUAUUGUUAAUCCGUCAUGCUAUAUUUGCUUAUGUUCUUUAUCGGUUUUAUACAGCCCUGUUUCUGCAUAAAACAAAGUGAAAACUGUCCUGGCGGUUUACCGCCGGACGGGUCAUAAUGCCCAAUAUAUAGCCAAGGUUGAUAACCAUAGCUUUAAAUAAUGAAAUAUGAAACAUAUCAUACCUGUGAUAUUGAAUCACUUUGUUGGUUUACCAACAUUCUUGUAAUAAGGGUGACGACCCAAAUACUGAGUAUUGAUAACUCAAACCAUGUUAUGCUGGUAUAUAAUAACUGAUGCCGGGUUAUGAUAAACACCGGAUGAUCAUCCUGGCAACUUAUAGUUAACUCCAGGCCUGGUUAAAUAAACACCGGUUUAUACGGAUGACUUAUAAUCAGGCCGGGCCAUUGGACGCCGGUUUAGCUCAAAACUUUAACAAGGGAGAAAAACAAAACUGACCAAUAAAAACCAGAGAAAAAAACUUGUAGUCGAGGCUUUUCAAGGGCUGCCAGGCCCAAAUGCGAGGCUUUUCAUGGGCUGCCAGGCCACUGAGUUAAAACGUUUUACAAAGCCUUUUAAGAUGGCCCUCAAUCCUUAACCAAUCGCUGGUCUAUCAUUGACAAGUUCAGGGUCAUAUGCGAUUGACUUGUCAAGUUGGCGGGUCAUACCAGGCUUACCUGGGCGGAGUGACUUACUUAAUGAAGGCAGGUUAACCCGGGGUUUUAGAUGUAUAUACCAGGCUUCCAAGCCACGGCUUGAUAGCCUAUUGCAAGUGUAGAUUUCUUUGUUCAUUGCGAUAGCAAAGAAUCCCCAAGCAACAUUUUGAGUUGUGCUCAACGGGUACCUAUGUUUGAGUUAUUCUUGACAACACUCUUUGGCCCCUAAGUAAUGGCAUUGCGCCAGCCAAAAGGUGUAGCUAUGGUUGAACACAACCAAGCCCCCAAGUGACUUAUUGUCGUGGCUUUUGAGCCAGCCAAGAGGUGUAGCUAUGGUUCGAAUACAACCAAGCCCCCAAGUGACUUUCUUUUGUGACCUUGAGCGAGCCAAGAGGUGUAGCUAUGGUUCAAAUACGACCAAGCCCCCAAGUGACUUAUAUUGAUAGACAGUUGUAAAGCUGAUUCAAAGGGUAAACCGGAUGUCGCUUUACAAACAGAAACCUCCGUGUAACCACUCAUGAUAUGAGAAGAACAGCAGAUACCCCGCUUUAGUUGGGGCUCCGGUUUAUUAUAUUGAUCAUAAUAUAUACAUCGUCAAAAUAUGUACAUGAUAGGAGCCUAUGGCUCAGGUGUAGUACGGCCGUAGAUGAGCUAUGUUCCACGGCCGGAUCGUCUCCUCCUCUGACUUGCGUGAGUCUUUAUGCUCUCGAACAUCAAUGAGGUAAUAUGAUCCGUUGUUCAGAUUCUUGCUGACCACAAAGGGCCCUUCCCAAGGCGGGGAUAACUUGUGCAUAUCGGUCUGAUCUUGGAUAAGCCGGAGCACUAGAUCGCCUUCUUGAAAAGUUCUGGUUUUAACCCGGCGACUGUGAUAACACCGCAGGUCUUGCUGAUAAAUCGCCGAGCGAGCCGCCGCUACGUCCCGUUUCUCAUCCAACAGGUCCAACGCAUCCUGGCGUGCUCUUUCAUUAUCUGCUUCAACAUAAGCUGCCACUCGUGGUGAGUCAUGACGAAUAUCACUUGGAAGGACAGCUUCCGCUCCAUAAACCAUGAAGAAGGGUGUAUAACCCAUAGAUCUAUUGGGGGUGGUGUUAAUGCUCCAUAAAACGGAAGGCAGCUCUUCAACCCAACAACCCGGUGUCCUCUGCAAAGGAACCAUAAGCCGGGGCUUGAUCCCCUUCAAGAUUUCCUGAUUAGCUCUCUCCGCUUGACCAUUAGACUGGGGGUGGGCCACUGAAGACACAUCAAGAUGGAUGUGCUCUCUUUGACAGAACUCCUCCAUAGCACCCUUGGAAAGAUUCGUGCCAUUGUCUAUUAUAAUGUUGUGUGGAAAACCAAAACGGAAUAUCACUUUCUUCAUAAAUUGAACCGUCUUGGCUGCAUCACAUUUGCUAACUGGCUCUGCCUCCACCCACUUGGUAAACUUAUCAACCGCCACCAAGAGGUGGGUCUUCUUAUCCUUAGACCUCUUAAAGGGUCCAACCAUAUCAAGCCCCCAGGUUGCAAAUGGCCAGGUAAUUGGAAUCAUCCUCAGCUCCUGAGCCGGAACAUGAGCCUAGCGUGCAAACUUCUGACAGCCAUCGCACCUUUUGACCAAGUCCUCAGCAUCAGCAUGGGCCGUCAGCCAAUAGAAACCGUGACGAAAAGCCUUAGCCACCAGGGACUUUGAACCGGCAUGAUGACCACAAUCACCUUCGUGAAUUUCGCGUAAAAUUUCACGGCCUUCUUCAGGAGAAACACAACGUUGAAAAGCCCCUGAGACACUGCAAUGAUGUAGCUCGCCAUUGACAAUAGUCAUGGACUUGGAACGCCGGAUUAUCUGCUUGGCCAGAACUUCAUCCUCUGGUAACUCACCCCGGCUCAUAUACACCAAAUAUGGGAUCGUCCAAUCCGGGGUGACAUGAAGCGCCGCCACCAACUGAGCCUCCAGAUUAGGAAUAGCUAAGUCCUCCUCCGUGGGUAGCUUGACCGACGGGUUAUGCAAAACAUCAAGAAAAACAUUGGGCGGCACCGUAAUACGCUGGGAGCCCAACCGGCUUAAAGCGUCCGCCGCUUCAUUCUUUCGCCAGUCUACAUGAUCAACCUGAUAACCCUUGAAAUGACCUGCAACAAUAUCCACCUCUCGAUGAUACGCUGCCAUGAGGGGGUCCUUGGAAUCCCAAGUACCAGAAACUUGUUGAGCCACUAGGUCCGAGUCACCAAAACAUUUAACCCGGCUCAGAUUCAUCUCCUUAGCCAUCCGAAGACCAUGGAGCAGGGCCUCGUACUCAGCUGCAUUAUUAGUACAAGGAAACAUCAAGCGGAGAACAUAACAAAAUUUGUCACCUCGAGGGGAAGUAAGAACCACUCCAGCCCCCGAGCCCUCCAAUUGCCUGGAUCCGUCGAAAUGAAUCGUCCAGUAUGUGUUAUCCGGUCUAUCCUCCGGCACCUGCAACUCUGUCCAGUCAUUGAUGAAAUCCACGAGUGCUUGAGACUUGAUGGCCGUGCGAGUCAUAUAUUUUAAUCCGUGAGGCCCAAGCUCAAUAGCCCACUUAGCAACCCGGCCAGUCGCUUCUCUGUUCUGGAUGAUAUCUCCCAAAGGAGCAGAACUAACCACAGUAAUGGGAUGGCCCUGAAAGUAUUGCUUCAGCUUCCAGCUCGCCAUAAAAACCCCAUAUACAAGCUUCUGCCAAUGUGGAUAUCUCUGUUUUGACUGAAUGAGCACCUCACUGAUAUAAUAAACCGGCCGUUGAACCGGAUACUCCUUUCCUGCCUCCUUGCGCUCCACCACAAUAGCCACACUGAUAGCCGGAGCAUUAGCAGCCACAUAUAACAGCAAUGGUUCCUUGUCCAUGGGAUCAGCAAGAACAGGUGGUUCGGCAAGCUACCGCUUUAGAGCCUCAAACGCUUCAUUAGCCGCAUCACUCCAGACAAAGUUGUCCGUGUUCUUCAGCAUUUGAUAUAAAGGGAUGGCCUUCUCCCCGAGACGACUUAUAAACCGGCUCAAUGCUGCAAUCCGGCCUGCCAGUCGCUGAACAUCAUUGAUGCACUUCGGUUUAGCCAGUGAAGUAAUAGCCUUGAUAUUCUCCGGAUUAGCUUCAAUGCCCCUGUUAGACACCAGAAAACCCAAAAGCUUGCUUGUUGGCACACCAAAAACACACUUGGCCGGGUAGAGCAUCAUCUUAUAAACCCGGAGGUUAUCAAAGGUCUCCUUUAAGUCACCUAUUAGUGUUUCCUCCUUCUUGGACUUCACCACAAUAUCAUCCACAUAAGCAUGAACAUUGCGCCCAAUCUGGUUAUGAAGACAAUUCUGAACACAACGUUGGUAAGUUGCCUGGGCACUCUUGAGCCCAAAGGGCAUAGACACAUAGCAGAAGGCUCCAGAGGGAGUUAUAAAAGUUGUCUUCUCCUGGUCCUUAACUGCCAUCUUAAUGUGAUGAUAACCUGAAUAAGCAUCCAGAAAACUCAAACGCUCACAACCCGCCAUAGCAUCAAUGAUUUGAUCUAUACGGGGGAGGGCAAAAGGAUCAGCCGGACACGCUUUGUUCAAAUCCGUGUAAUCCACACACAUACGCCAGGUGCCAUUCUUCUUAAGCACCAGCACCGGAUUAGCCAACCACUCCGGAUGAAAAACUUCAACAAUGAACCCUGCCGCCAAGAGCCGGGCUACCUCCUCACCAAUAGCCUUGCGCCUCUCUUCAUUGAACCGGCGAAGGAAUUGUUGGACCGGUUUAAACUUGGGAUCAAUAUUAAGGGUGUGCUCAGCGAGUUCCCUCGGUACACCUGGCAUGUCAGAAGGCUUCCAUGCAAAGAUAUCCCGAUUCUCACGGAUGAACUCGAUGAGCGCGCUUUUCUAUCUCGGAUCCAGAUUUGCACUAAUGAUGAACUGUUUGAAUGAAUCGCCGGGCACAAAAUCAACCAUCUUAGUCUCAUCAGCCAAUUUAAACUUCAAGGCCGGAUCAUGCUCCGUGGUUGGUUUCUUCAAAGAAGUCAUGUCCGCCGGAUCAACGUUGUCCUUAUAGAACUUCAACUCCUCUGCUGCACAAACCGACUCAGCAUAGGCCGCAUCACCUUCCUCACACUCCAAAGCGAUCUUGCGGCUUCCAUGUACUGUGAUAGUCCCUUUAUGACCUGGCAUCUUGAGCUGCAGAUAAACAUAACAGGGUCAUGCCAUGAACUUAGCAUAAGCCGGCCGUCCAAACAGGGCAUGAUACGGGCUUUGGAUUUUCACCACUUCGAAAGUCAAUGUCUCUGAUCUUGAGUCAUACUCAUCUCCAAAAGCGACUUCCAGAGCUAUUUUACCAACCGGAUAGGCUGAUUUGCCAGGCACCACACCAUGGAAAACAGUGUUCGACGAUUUAAGAUUCUUAUCUGUCAACCCCAUACGACGGAAGGUGUCAUAAUAUAAGAUGUUGAUACUGCUGCCUCCGUCCAUGAGCACCUUAGUAAUCUUAUAACCUCCAACCUGAGGCGCUGCCACCAAUGCCAAAUGACCCGGAUUGUCAACCCGGGGCGGGUGAUCCUCUCGGCUCCAGACAAUAGGCUGAUCAGACCAUCGCAAAUAACGAGGCACUGCCGGUUCAACCGAGUUCACCGCUCGUUUAUGAAGCUUCUGAUCGCGUUUGCAUAAGAUGGUGGUGAAAACGUGGUACUGUCCACUAUUCAACUGCUUUGGGUGACUUUGGUACCCUGACUGUUGCUGCUGCGGUCCUUGUUGGUUAUAACCACCCUGGUUGCUCUGAUUGCCUUGAUUGCCAUGUCCACCCUGAUUGCCUUGGAAUCCUGAACCGGAGUUGCCUCCUCCAUGACCCGGCCCAUAGGACCCGGAUCCUGAACCGCCGGAUGGUCCAUGAUCAUUCCGGAAGAAAUCUGAAUUUUUGAAUUCUCACAUGAUAUAACAAUCUUUCCAGAGGUGUGUGGACGGUUUGUCCUGCGUUCCAUGCUUCGGGCAGGGCUGGUUCAAUAGGUAAUUCAGGCGCUCCGGAUUAGGACUGGGCUCUGCCCUUCUUGGGGGCAGCUUUCCUUUACGACGCUGACCAUUACCCUGUGUAUUGGUGUUAGCCACAAAAUCUGAAUUAUGAUCUGCUUUCCGCUUACCAUUAUUAUUGUGGCCCGUCGGGUUAUGCUGCUGCCCCUUGGCGUUGCCGCUCUUCUUUCCCUUCCCCGGUUUGUCAUCGCCAGACUCGGGGUCCUUGGUACUAUCAGAAUCAGCAUACUUAACCAGAGCAGCCAUAAGUGUUCCCAUGUCAUUGCAGUGACGCUUGAGCCGUCCCAACUUCAACUUUAAAGGCUGAAACUAACAAUUCCCCUCCAAUGUUAUAAUCGCCGAGUCGGCAUUGAUGCGAUCCAAAGAAUGUAAGAUCUCUGAAACCCGGCGCACCCAAUGGGUUGUUGACUAGCCUUCUCCCUGGACGCAGGCGGCUAAGUCCACAAUUGACAUAGGUUGCUUGCAUGUGUCCUUGAAGUUUGCUAUAAACCGGGCUUUUAACUCAGCCCAUGUCCCAAUGGAAUUAACUGGUAAGCUUUUCAACCACGUGCGAGCUGUUCCAUCCAAUAUCAUAGCAAAAUAUUUCGCGCAGGCCACUUCAUCCACAUCUAACAUCUCCAUAGCCAUCUCAUAAAUCUCAAUCCAUGACUCGGGAGGCACAUCAGCGGUGUAAUUAGGCACCUUACGGGGGCCCUUGAAAUCCUUGGGAAGCCGUACAUUGCACAAAGCCGGGACGAGGCAGGGCACCCCCCAAGAGCUGAAAGUAAGGCCUUCCUCUACGGAAGCCACCGAACGAAACGGAGUGAGCUGACGGUCCUGCGCUGCUAACUCGGCUUCUCGACGUGCUCCGUUGUUCACCACAUCCUGAGCAUUUGCCCCACCACGCGCCGGAGUAGGUCCUCGAGGAGCGUCUCGGUUCCGUGCACUGCUUGACACAGCCGGUUCAUCGAUGUGCCUGCUAUAACUCCGGCUCGGGCGUGGGGUUGAAUGAAUUAUAUCUCGGCUGUAUGAAUAAGCCUGCUGCUGCACCAUAGCCGUCUGAAGAAGAUCCCUAGCACGUCGCGUCUCAACCGCCGCUAGGGAUUCACCCUCCAUUGGAAUAACGGCUAAUCAUGAUGUGUAGCGAUCAUAUUAUCCAAAGGGGUGGAGAAGUGACCCGGCGGCGCCGGUACAUACUGCAGCGGGUUAUGGGUCCGUCGAGGGGGAUCCGUCACCCGUGGCUAAUCCGGUGCUCCGGUCCUCGGCGUCUCAAUCCGACUCACCGCUGCCGGAUUACUGGUUCCUGCUCCUGGCGUGCCAAAGAGAUUCAUUGCCUCAUAAACCGGUGGUAGUCGUGACCGAUGCCUUCUCCUUAACACGUCGUUUGAAGCAUUCUGAUCCAACAGGAGUCAAUAAUUUUCCGCCUGAAUCCGCUGUGCUUGUGCCUCUAAAGUGGCCCGCUCCUCAGCCAUCCUGGUUUCUUCAGCCGCUAAGUCCUCCUUAGCUUGAGUUAUCUGAUCCUGCAGCUUAGCCACCUCCGCAUUAUGCUGAUCUUGGGUGUCGGCGGUAACUUGUGUGGUCAGUAAGGUCGUCCAGGCGUCCAAUAAAUCGAAAGGCCGGCCGGCGCGCGGGGCCUCCCGCCCCAGCUGCCGAUCCGGAAAUUAUUGCUGCCGCGGUUGAAGAUUGCAACGUGGGCUGAGUUCCAGCGAUGAAGAUCGCAACCCGGUUCGACGGUUCAAAGGGGUCUGGAAUACUGUCGCCAUCGGAAUAGCCCCCAAACUGGCCAUCUUGCAGUUGGUACAGUGACUCGGUCUCCCCGGUGGAUGACUCGUCAUCUGAGUAGACGACGGUCUCGCCAUCGGACGUCGGUUCAAGUUCCGCACCAUUGAUGAAUCCUACGAACAUACGCUUCACGGCGGGCUGAACCCGGGCAGGGCUUGCACGCUGAGCCGGCUCGACGAGGUCGGUGCGGAUGUCCGGCUCGGGGCCCGGUUCGCCGAUCUUGCCGAUGAAGACGUGAAUUCCUCCAAAGGGGACCCGGUACCCAUACUCGAUUGAGCCGGCUUCAGGGCCCCAGCCUGCGUCGUCGAUGUAGAGCUUGCCGCGACGACUCUUGGUCAUCCGGCCCAUGGCGUAUCCCUUGAGCCCUUCAAAAUUGCCCUUCAAGAACUUGAAACCAUCGCGCGAUAGCCCCACGGUGGGCGCCAACUGUCGUGGGUUUGUCACGGCAGAUGUCCUAGCAAAAGGACUUAGUCGUGGAGCCAUCGCAACGGGUUAGCUUAAAGGGGUUAAAACGGACAAAGGACGCGAGGGUUUAGACUGGUUCGGCACCUUGCGAUGAAGGUAAAAGCCUACGUCUAGUUAUGGUGGAAUUGCUGUGGUCUCGAGGAUCAAGGAGCGGAAUCGCUUUACCUAGAUCUCGAGUUGUUGUUUCUUGUCCUUGAACCGCCGCCGGGUUGUGCCUUUAUAUACACAGGUCGACGCCCGCUGGCUUACAGAGUCCCGAUGCCGGUUUAUACACAUACAGGCUCGGUCUCUACUUUGUCAUACCUUACAAUACAAGUCAUGUACUACAUGGCGGUUUAUAGCUACAGGCCUUAAUCUACCUUUGGGCCUUGGGCCUUCGAGUCUCUGUAGUAAACCGCUUUAUUCCUUGUCUUCAUGGGCUUUUAGGUAUAAACAAUCCAUUAUGGGGAUAACCCGGCUUCCUUGGCCGGUUUACACCUAGUAGUAAUAUCCCCAACACCAGGUGUGGGCUCAAGUUAGGGGGAGAAAUGGAAUUGUCCCAAUGUUUUAAAGGAAUAAAUAGUAUUUAUGUUGUCAGUUCUUAUGUCAUGUCCAUAAAAAACUAUAUUUAAUUUUUUUAAGCUUUUUCUUUGAAAAUAGUGAAACUUUUCAUCAUGAGCUAGCUUAAGAUUACUUACUAUAUUUACAUCGAAUUGACACUUGUCCCUAGAUAAUAGGAGGGUAACUAUGACUACAAAUUUACACACAUUACCUAACUUCAAAUAUAGCUUCCCCACAAAAGUAACUUUAUAUACAGUUGGCUGGCCUUGGGGCUCAUAAUUUUGGAAGUAUACAGCAAAGGCACUUUAUCUAUAUUUAUCUUUAAGAAACUAAAAUCAAGUUUAUCUAUAGCGAAUUGGCGAUGCGUAUACUUAGAUUGCAAUGCCUAAAGGAUAUCUGGACAACAUAAAGUGCAAAAGGAAUAUAAAAGGAUAUCUGGACGGGGACUCGCCGGAGGCUUCACCGGCAUCUCCAACGUUGUCCGAUCUCAUUUGUGAAUUCUUCCAUGCCGGCUAUGACAAAGAUGACGUGGCGACGACGGUCGACAAAAUCUUGCCACCCGAGGAUCCGGCUAGGAUUGGAACACACGCUGGAGAGAGGAAGGAGAUGGUUCGUCCGGUCGUGCAUCGCAGAACGGCGGCAACGGCGAUCCGGCCAUGGAAGGGCCCCUUGCCUAAGGUAAAUCUCCCUAACUUAACUUUGUUCGAUUUGAUUCGCCCGGAGUCAUGGAUUGAGGUUAAGAGGAGGAAGAAGCCAUGCCGGAAAGGACCGAGAUCGGCGCCGGUGUUGGCCGCGGCGGUGAAGCCGGCGAGCAAGCCGAUCCAGAUCACGGCGGCUCGCCGAGAUCGUUUGAAAUCGAUCUUGGGCCGUAGUGGGCUGGGUUUGGACGUUUUUUCGCUCGAGGUCGUUGGGCUAGGGACUAUUGGGUAUGAGGCCCAAGUGAGACCGGGUCCUAUCGAUAGUGAAACUGGCGUCGCAUGCAUCCCAGCGCCAUCUACGUCGCGUUCGUCUACCCCGAGUCCUAGGGUUUUUCUGCGUAGGGCGCCUUGGCUGCGUUCUUCGGGUCCUGGACGCGCUAGACGGAUUCCUCCCCUGGUGGCCAUGGCGGGCCGCGGGGCUGGUCUGCAGCCGGGAAAGAACACUGUCGUGCAUACCGGGGCAGGCCGCGUCGGGGGUGCGCCGCCGCCGGGCGGUGGCAAUGGCCGUGGUGCACCGCCACCGGGUGUUGGUUCUGGCCAUGGUGCGCUGCCGCCACCGGUCUCUGGGUCCAGUCGAGGUAUGCCGCCGCUGGCGGCUGCAGCUGGCCGGGGUACUGCGGUCGGCCCUGGGAUGGCGAGUGUGGCUGCAGGGCGUGGUGGCGGUGCCCUUCCAGGGGUUCGGCCGCCGUUGCUGGGCUCGGCGGGGCUGCCUGCCGCGGGUCGAGACGGGACGACCGGUGGUCCUCGCCCGCGGACGUCGGCUCUGGCUGGGGUGACCGCAGCGGGUCGGGGUGGUGCGAUCGCACCCAGGCCGNNNNNNNNNNNNNNNNNNNNNNNNNNNNNNNNNNNNNNNNNNNNNNNNNNNNNNNNNNNNNNNNNNNNNNNNNNNNNNNNNNNNNNNNNNNNNNNNNNNNNNNNNNNNNNNNNNNNNNNNNNNNNNNNNNNNNNNNNNNNNNNNNNNNNNNNNNNNNNNNNNNNNNNNNNNNNNNNNNNNNNNNNNNNNNNNNNNNNUGCAGAUGCAGGCGCCGCCACCGCAAAACACGGGUGCUGGAGGUGUUUCGGGAACACCCCGGGGUCAAUGGGGAGAUGAUGGGUACAAUGCCUAUGGAGAUGGCCAGCACCAAGGUUCUUCGUCGACUGGCGGUGGCCGAGGAUAUGCAUGGCAGAGUGACGGGACGGCGGAGAGACCUUUUCUCGGUCCUCCGGGUGGUUUUGUUGAGGGGGCGUCUGGCCCGGGCUAUCGGCAGCGGGGAGGCUACCGCGGUCAUCAUGGUGGUCGAGGUGGUCGAGGUGGCCGGUUUCGUCGACGGCAGCCUCCUCCGCAUGUGGUCGUCGGGGCGAUUACUGCCACUGGGGCUGCCGAGGAGCCGGUGUUGUCCGGUCAGGCUAUGGAUGUGGUGUCGGCGCUCGCUAAUGCUGAGAUACCCGGGAGUGAGACCACGGUGUCGGCGUCAGUGGAGGCGACAGACAGGGCUGACUCGGACAGGGCGUCCAAGUGGGCGCGCAAGAAGGAGAAAAUGUUGUGCUAUCGGUGUGGAGAGAAGGGUCAUUUUUUUGCUGAGUGCGUGGCUGACCUUUGUGACACCUGUGGCAAGCCGGCACAUGAUUCAGGGGUUUGUCCGAUUUUUCGUGAUUAGGCGCCGUUUCUUAUGAUGUAUGGAGUGUAUUGUGCUGAGCUCACGUUCUUUGAGUCUCCUGAUGCGAUGGAGAUCCCUGAUGAGACCCAGAGUCUGACCACUGGGGUUGUCAAAUUACCAGAGAAGAGGUCUCUGAGACUCAGAUUGUGCAGAGGCUGAAGGAGUUAGCUCCUGGUGACUUCCAGUGGGAGCUUGUUAGUCUCGAGGCAAAUAUGUUUAGGGUUGAGUUCCCUUCAGUUGAGGAUUUGCAGAGACUUUUGAGUUUUGGGAUGUGCAAUGUGCCGGGUACUGAUGGUGUCCUCGAGUUUCAUGAGUGGAAGAAGGUCGAACCUCAGGGUAAGCCGCUUACUCAGGUUUGGCUGCGUUUUUCUGGGGCUCCCUCGAAGCCGAUGCAGGAUGCCAGGGUCGUGGCUAGCUUGGGCAUUAUGGUGGGGAAGACUGACAGAGUGGAUAUGGCUUAUACCAGAGCUCACGGGAUUGCCCGACUGCUGGUCAGUGUUCUGGAUAUUGAGUUCAUGCCUGAUGUGGUCAAGUGGACAUAUCGAGGCCAGAUUUAUAACCUCGUGAUUGAGUUUGAGGAUGAGAGUCUGUUCUCCGAGGCGGCUAACGGGUCUGAUGUUGAUAUGCACGAGGGAGAUGAGAGCUCGGGAGCUAAGGAGGCACCGGUUGAUGACACUGGACGAGAGUUGUCCAAUGGACCGGGAUCCGUUUCUCAAACGUCCGGGGAUGGGACGGUGCCACCCUCCUCGGUGCCUAUGACUUCUCUGAGAUUUGGAUCUUUCGAGCCGGCUUCUGCGCCUCCGAGACUUUGGAGUGAGCGGGUGGAGUCUGACGAGGUUUUUGAGCACACAUUACCUGCUUUGGAUUUUGAGGAUGCUGUGAGUCCCGUCCUUGGGGCUUUGCCGAUCUCGGUCAGGGGAGAGGAGGAGGUGGCUCCCUCUCAUGUACUACUCGUUGAUUCUCCUCAGAUCGAGGGUCCGGCGGUGGAGGUCUUUCCCUCGGGAGGGGGUCCGGGGCUGGUGGUCUCGGUUCCCUCUUCUUCUGUCGCGAUGCCGGAGCUGCAGGUGGCGGUGGCCUCGGCGCCCUCUUCUCCUCUCGCGGUAGACGAGGUUUCGGUGGUGGAGGUUUUAUCUUCGGGAGGGGGUCUGGGGCAGGUGGCCUCGGCAUCCUCUUCUCUUCUCGCGAGGCCGGAGCUGCAGGCGGCGGUUCUGCAUUCUGGAGGGGGCUCGGGGCCCUCUUCUCCUGGGGCGCCUAGGGUGGCCGGCCCUCCUGUGGCGCCGGUGAGCCCUUCUUGCCGGCGGGCCGGGGUGGGUGGGGAGCUCGGGCAGGUGACCCUUGCUCCCUCCUCCCCCGGCAUGGUGUCGUCUCUCUGCCGUGGGGCACGACCGACGUCGGUGGUGCCCUUGAGUGCCCCACCGCUUUCCGGCGGUCCAGCUGGUUCGUCGAUGGAGGCUGACCGGCUGCGUGUUCGGGGUGAGGCAGGAGGCCCCACCCCGAGCAGGGUCACUCGGGAGGAGGUGAUUGCGUUCAGCGGGAUUCCAAAUCCGGUGUCUGAGGGGCGACGGUUGAGCUGCCGUCUCCAGGAUCAUCCAGAGGUUGACGACAUACAGCAGCGGUGCGCAAUGAGGGCGGCCAAGCUUCGUGACGUUGAGGUCACUACUGGUAUGUCGGUUAAUACCUCAAAUUCCAUCUUGCAUUUUUCUAAUGAUGAGAUUAUUAAUAAUGCAAACCAAUUAGGAAUUUCACUAGGUAGUAAUGUUAGUGAAAUUUCAAAUUCCGUUAAUGAUAUCCUGGAUUUAGAGGCAGAGCGGGCUUUAGAGAUGAUUCGUAACUUAGCAGCGGUUAAACCCAUGAAUGAUUCCGAUAUUGAUGCUUUGGGGGUCAGGGUGCUCGAUAAUUUUUGUGCGGAUCUUGCUCCUCCCCUACCUGAGCCUGAGGAGGAGGAUGAGAGUUUUGAGAAUGUUGUAGUCAGACCUUCUAAGCCUGGUUGUGAGGACCGGCUGGAGAGUAAGAACAUUCCUAAACGCAAAUGGAAGCGGAAGAUCUACCCGACUUCCGCAGUGCGUAGGAGUGCUAGGAUCCGCACGGCUAAAAAAUUCCAUGACGAAAUAUGAAAGGAAUCUUUUGGAAUAGCAGAGGUCUGAAAGACUUGGCUAAAAGAAGGUUUCUUGCAGAGGCGUCUAUCGAGCAUAGGUUGGACUUUAUCGCUUGUCGGAAACUGGUAGAGAUAAUUUUUCGCCACAAUUUCUCAAUACUUUAUCCGGCGGUAUUGAUUUUGACUGGCAUUAUUUGCCACCGCGAGGAAGAUCGGGUGGGAUCUUACUCGGAGUUAGAUGCGAUUCGCUCGAAGUCCGGAGUGUGGUCAUGGGAGAUUUUGCUGUUAAGUUUAGGGUGCGGUCGAAGGCUGAUGGGUUUAAUUGGGCUCUGGUGGCGGUAUAUGGUGCCGCACAGCCCGAACUCAAACCUGAUUUCUUGGCUGAUCUAGUUAGGAUUUGCGGUUCUGAGCAGCUUCCAAUCCUGGUGGGGGGUGAUUUUAACAUCAUUAGAAGGCGUGAUGAGAAGAACAAUGAUAACUUUGACGGCAGAUGGUCGUUCAUGUUUAAUACUAUCAUUGAAAGCUUGGAUCUAAGAGAGAUAGAGCUUUCGGGAAGAAAGUUCACCUGGGCUAACGCGAUGCCAAAUUCGACGUUUGAAAAGUUGGAUCGAGUACUGGCUAGUGUCGAAUGGGAACAGAAAUUUCCCUUUGUAAUAGUUCAGGCACUUUCUCGUGGUAUUUCUGACCACACGCCUUUAUUUCUUGACUCUGGUGAGGCCACCCACUUGAGAAACAAAAACUCAUUUUCGUUUGAGCUUGCUUGGUUUGAAAGAGAAGGCUUCUUUGAUCUCGUAGCCAGAGAGUGGGCCAAGGAUGCAGGAGGUAGGACUAUGCUUGAGCGUUGGAAGAAUAAGAUUAGGCACUUGAGAAGUUUCCUACGUGGGUGGGCUAAGCAUCUUAGCGGGAUUUAUAAGGUCGAAAAGGAACGGCUCCUUACCCUUAUUCAGUCCCUAGAUGUAAAAGCAGAAACCACGGUUCUGCCAGCCUCAGAGCUUCAUGCCAAGCUUGACGCGGAGAUGAGGCUGAAAGAGCUUCUUCGUGAAGAAGAAUUAAAGUGGGCGCUGCGGGCCAAGGUCCGACGAGUUGUCCAGGGGGACGCGAACACUCAACUCUUCCACAUGAUCGCUAAUGGCAAACACAGAAAGAAGAGGAUCUUUCAGCUUGAACAAGAUGAAGGAACGAUUCUAGGUCAGGAGAACCUAAAAUUAUACAUUACUGAGUAUUACAAGCAGUUGUUUGGGCCUCCAGAGGAUAACUGUGUUUCUCUGGAUGAGUCUAGGAUUGAGGAUGUUCCUCAACUUACUGCUGUUGAGAAUGAUAUUUUAGCUACUCCUUUUUCUGAGAAAGAGGUGUUUGAGGCCAUAUCGCAGAUGAAAAAUAAUAAGGCUCCCGGCCCGGAUGGAUUCUCGGCUGGGUUUUAUAAGAAGUGUUGGCAUAUUAUUAAAGGGGAUCUGUUCCCAUUGUUCCAUGAUUUAUUCUCUGGACAGCUUCAGCUUUUUCAACUGAAUUUUGGAACGAUAACCCUGCUUCCUAAGAAAACAGAGGCUGUGAGAAUUGAGCAAUUCAGGCCCAUCUGUCGUCUUAAUGUUAGUUUCAAAAAAAUUACCAAGGUCGGGACUAAUAGGCUCACACAGAUUGCGCAUGCUGUGGUGCAGCCUACCCAAACUGCUUUCAUGCCGGACAGGAACAUUCUCGAAGGGGUUGUGGUCCUUCAUGAAACGCUCCAUGAGAUUCACACGAAAAAACUAGAUGGAGUUGUUUUCAAGGUGGAUUUCGAGAAAGCGUACGAUAAAGUCAAAUGGCCUUUCCUUCAACAAGCCUUACGCAUGAAGGGUUUUGAUGAAGCUUGGCGACGCCAGGUAGAAUCUUUGACGCAAAAAGGGAGUGUUGGAAUUAAAGUGAAUGACGACAUAGGUCAUUAUUUCCAGACACACAAGGGCUUGAGACAAGGUGAUCCAAUGUCUCCUAUUCUGUUCAACAUUGUGGUUGCCAUGUUGGCAAUUCUGAUAGGUAGGGCAAAGGAGGCCGGUCAGGUGUGCGGCUUGGUGCCUCAUCUAGUUGAUGGUGGUGUGUCCAUCCUGCAGUACGCUGAUAAUACAAUCAUCUUUAUGGAUCACGACUUGGCAAAAGCGAGAAAUAUGAAGCUGGUGUUAUGCUUAUUUGAACAAUUGACCGGAUUGAAGAUUAACUUUCAUAAAAGCGAGUUGUUCUGUUUUGGUAGAGCCAAUGAGGAACAAGAGGCUUAUAGGCAAUUGUUCAGAUGCGAAUUGGGGGCAUUACCUUUCACGUACUUAGGUAUACCCAUUCACCAUCGUAAGCUGACAAACAGAGAAUGGAAGUGCAUCGAGGAUCGGUUUGAGAAGAAACUGAGUUGCUGGAAGGGCAAACUCAUGUCAUAUGGAGGCCGAUUGAUUCUUAUUAAUUCGGUGCUCACGAGUAUGCCUAUGUUUCUCUUAUCUUUCUGAAGUCCCAGUUGGUGUUAGGAAAAGGCUGGACUUCUAUCGAUCCCGAUUCUUCUGGCAGAGUGAUGAACUAAAGAGAAAAUACCGACUCGCCAAAUGGGAUAUCAUCUGUCGACCAAAGGACCGAGGGGGCCUUGGUAUUGAGAAUCUUGAAGUCAAGAACAGAUGUCUUCUCAGUAAGUGGUUGUAUAAGUUAUCAGUUGAGACUGAGGCCACGUGGGCGCAGAUUCUCCGUAGUAAGUAUCUGUAGUCCAAGACUUUGUCCCAGGCGACAGUGAGACCGACUGACUCGCCAUUUUGGAAGGGGCUUAUGAGAGUCAAAGCUGCCUUCUUUAAUAGAACAAAGUUUAUAGUCGGUAAUGGCAACACCACUCGUUUCUGGGAGGAUACUUGGCUUGAUGAAACGCCGUUGGCGCUUCAGUAUCCGUCUCUGUAUCGUAUUGUUCAACGACGUGAUGCUCUUGUUGCAACGAUUAUGCAGUCCAUUCCCCUUAAUAUUCAGUUUAGGAGGGCGCUUGUUGGCGACCGGUGGGAAGCAUGGCUUCAUUUGGUGAGUAGACUGAUGGAGGUUCAGCUAUCUCAUCAGCCCGUCAGUUGUGUUGGUGCUUACUAGGUCUGGAGAGUUCACAGUUAAGUCGAUGUAUAUCGAUGUCAUUAACUCUAGUGCUAUUCCUAGUUCCAAAGAUGUUUGGAAAGUCAAAGCUCCUUUGAAAAUUAAAGUGUUUAUGUGGUUUGUACAUAAACAAGUCAUUUUAACAAAGGAUAAUUUGGUUAAGCGCAACUGGACAGGAUCUACUAGGUGUAGUUUUUGUGAUCGGGACGAAACUAUCAAGCACCUCUUCUUUGACUACCCGUUGGCGAGAGUUUUGUGGCACACGGUGCAUAUUGCCUUUAACAUUACUCCUCUGAAUUCGGUCAGUACGUUAUUUGGAACGUGGCUUGUUGGGAUAGAGUCCGAAACAGCUAGACACAUUCACGUAGGAGUAUGUGCUUUGUUGUGGGCAAUUUAGAACUGCAGAAAUGAUUUGGCUUUUAACAGAACAACAAAUAUUCAUUUUUUGCAGGUUUUAUUCCGGGCUACUGCGUUGAUCCAUAUGUGGUCGUUACUCACUCCGACGGAGGCCAGGGAGCGUUUGGUUACUAGAUCUGUCCGGUGGAAGAUGGUAGCGCGGGAUAUCUUCAACCGGUUUGGAUGGCGGUCAUGUAAUAGGAUAGGCGAUUAGUUUACCUAUCUUUGUUAUGCCAGCCGGUUGUGGCUUUUGGGCCUAUUGUUUUUGGCGUUGUGGCUCUUUGUGAGCUUGCCGUUAUUUUGUUUUCAGACUAUAAGACCUUGUUGAACCUCUUUAUUUAUCUAUAAAUGUGAUCGUAUGCAUUGUUCUGAUGCAGAGGCCGGGGAGUCCCCUUUUCAAAAAAAAACUAGAAUAUAAGUUGUUAAAAUUCAAAAAAUAAGAAUAUGAGUUGUUUUCUUUCAUAGAAAAAAAGAAUAUAGGCUAUAUUCUUACACAGAAAAAAAAGAAUAAUGGAUAACAAAACUUCGGGUCCAUUUAUAGUACCAACGUCAUCUUGGUCGGUUGGUUAGCCCACGCACAUGUGCCGAGUGACAAAGGUGUUUUUUGGUUUUAGAUGUUGAUUUUAUUUUGUAAGGUCUUCAAAGGAUAUAUACAUUUUAGUGUGCAUUCUAGAUGUCAACCAUGAGUGGUCUGGUGGCUAUCCAGUUUAGGUAAUUAAAACUAGAUUGUGGGUUCGAACCACGCCGUUCCAACCUUUUUCAUUGUUUGAGGGAUUUUAGACGCAAAUAUAUAAAUUGCUAGGUAGUAAUCUGCAAAAAGUCCGCCUCCAGCCAAUGACAGGUGGGCCUGUGCUGUGCUGGCGCACCACGUGGACAAGCCAUAAGGCCAGAUACGAGAAAAAGCACCGUAUUUAAACGUGAUGUCAAGUUAUGCGACCACAAAUUCGUAUUAUUAAAAUUUUAACACCUAACUAAAUAUAAAGUGCAAGUUUUGUGACUACCGGCGAUAUUACGAAAAGAUAGUAGUGUUUCCAUGUUCAGCGCGCAUGCAUGCCUGCCUUUUCGUCUGUGGAUCUCGCCGGCCGCCUGCCCCGGAUUUGGGCGUGUGGUUGUGUUUCCUUGUUCAGCGCGCGCGUACGUGACACGACUUUUGUUUUUGUUUUUGGGUGCAUUUUUCACGGCCUACCUGUCUCUCUUUACUCACUGCAUGCCACACAGACCAGAACACGGGGCUAUAUUAGAGCAUCUCCAGCCGCGUCCCCAACAGGUCUUUCUCAGGCGUUUUUCCCGCGCCGCCGGUCAAAAAUCGGCCCAGUCGCGUCCUCAGGAGCCCGUUUUUCGUCGGUUUGGGCCCAAAUUGACGCCGGCGGACCCAGGCCGAACCCGACGCGCUGAGGACGCCCGGGGGCGCCAGGGCGAGACGUUUUGGUGCGAAAGCGGAUGGUCCCGCCGAGUCAGCGACACGCCGCUUCGUCGCCCUCAUCGUCUCGGUUCUCGCGGGAAUCAAUGCGAAGGCUGCCGCGCUGCCGCGCCGGUCAGCCUUCAUUGAUGCCUCACGGGCAGCGCAGUGAACGCGCCGCGACGCGCGUCCAGCCACGCUUCGCCCGGCAUGCAGCCCGACGCCGCCCAGCCACGGCUAUAAAAGGCGUCCUCCCCGCCGGUGGACUCCACAGCUCUCAUUUCCCCCCUCUCCGGCGCAGAAAGCAGCACUCUUCCCUCUUCCCGCCGACAAAGAAAGAUGGCCAAGAGGUUCCCAGGUGACGGCGCGGCGGCGAAUGGAUUCGGCCGCCGCCACCUUUAAGAGGCGGAGGCGCGGCUGCUGUACGAGGCGGAGUACCCGGCGCCCCCGGACAUGCGGGUGUCGGGGACAUGGAGGCUGAGCGCCGGCGGCGUCCCGGUGCCACCGGUGCCCGAAGGGGCGGCACGGCUACGCCGCCGACAGUCACACCCUCUGGACGAUGUACUUCGAGCGCCGCCGCGAGGAGCAGAUCGCCUCCACAACCGGCGUCAUCCCGCGGGGCCGCCACAACGCCGACGGGCGGCGCAAGUGGUGGGGCGUUCCGGGCCGCACCCUCGAGGCCGUCCUCGACCACAUCGAGACCGGCAACAUGCCGCGCCACAAGUACCCGCCGCGGCCAUCCUUCUCUCGCCGCCGUGGUAGCUCCUGGACGCCGCGGCGGACGGAGCCGGGGUCGUCUUCGUCGUCGGGCUCCGGCUCGCCGGCCGCAUUCCGCCCCGUCAAACCCGAGCCGGAGGAGUCGCCCCUCCGGCGCCGCACCCGCAGCGGCGGCGCCCUCGUCAUCAAUGAGGUCGCCCGAUCCUCCCCGCGUGGAUCCUACCGCCUGGUUCAGCCGAAGCCGGAGCCGGGGCUGCUCACGGUGAAGCCGGAGCACGUCGAGAUGGCAGGCCCCGACGACGAGUUCACCCUCAAGUGGGCGAAGGAAGACUACGUCCGGGAGCAGGUACGCCGCCAGCGCCGGGCGUACGAGGAGCUCCAGGCCCGUCGGCGCGGCCGCGAGGAAGGCGGCGUCAUCGUCCUCGACAGCGACGAGGAGGGCGAGGCCGGGCCGUCCAGCGCACCACCGCGCCUCGGCGACCCGGGCCAGGGCUGCAGCAGGGAGGCCGCCGGCCGGCCCAAGCCAGCCGCGCGACGACGACGAUGACGGCGGCGACUACACCCGCUUCUACAGGCUCCUUGGCAUGUAGACAGCGGCGGUGGCGGCUAGGCGUAGUUUAGGCGUUGUUAGGCGUAGUUUGCAUGUGUUUUGUGUUUUUUGUACAAAUUUCAAUGAAGUUUCGCUGAGUUCGUGUAAAAAAGGUCGAGUUUUCAUAUAUUUUGUACAGACGUCGCCAAACCCGGGAGGACCUGUGGACCGACGACUGGGAGCUAGGUUGCCCCAGAGGCCAAUCUCGCGCCGGCUCGUCCCAGGCGGCUCUUUUUCAACGCCCUGAGGGGCCGAACAGCUGGAGAUGCUCUUAGACCUGACAGCUCUCCUCACUCCCAAGUCACAACAUGGCUGCGUGCACGCGUGCGUGCGCACAAGACCAAGAUACCGACUGCCACAGAAUACUUUGUGCACGCACGGUCGAACCAUGCGACGCAGCAGCGUAGCUUGCAUCGAACGAGUGAAAGUUGAGUCGCCAAUUGGAUUUGGGGAAGGAGACGAUCUUGCUUAUUUGCACUGCCUUUUGACUCUCGCGUCCGGCCGCUUAGGCCAACUCCAACGUGCGAUCCCAUCCCGUCCGUCGUAGUCCGUUUAGGGUUGAAUAAACGAAUAACGCGGUCUAAUGCGCGGCCCCAAACGGAUAAAUGUCCGGUUUUCAUCCGUUUUCAACCCAUUCUCGGCCCAAACUUGUGCCGCGUUUGGGGUGAAACGGAUAUCGCGCGGACGGGUUGGACGCACGCUCCUCCCCGUGGCCCUCCUGUUGGGGACACUAGCACUCCAUUCGCCUCCAACCCCUCCACCCGCUCUCCACGCCCCACCCCGCUGCCGGCGCCGUCACUAUUCUUCGGCCGCCUCCUCACUGCUCACCCCCCCGGUCGUCCAUACCAAACCACGUCUCGACAUGGCCGCCACCACGCUCGCGCGUUCCUAGGAGUUUUGGCCGUUGGUUGGAGGAGUUUUGGUCGUCGUCGUCGUAGCCGGUGCCAGAGUGGAUACGACCACGACAGCUUCCGUCGGGUGCCCGAGAGCGGCCUGUAGCCGGCCGCCAACCACCCCUGCUGCAUCGAGGUGAUCAUAGCGGCCUCUUCGUCACCACGACCGCAAGGUGUUUGACACUUUGCCCACAAAGGUAUGGAUAGUGGAGAUGAAUUUUUCUUCAACCACUUCAUUUAUUCAUCGGACUCAUCGGAUGACGAAGAUCUUGUGGUGGCUACAGUGGUCGUUCACGACCACAUUCAACAGCAGCUUCCUCGAUACAGGGGGUCAGUCCCUGGUCGUGCUCCCAACCUGAACCGCAACAGAGAGAGAGGCCAGGCCCUGCUCUAUGCCAUUACUUUGCGAAUACUCCGCCCUUCAAACCGAAUAAAUUCCGUCGCCGUUUUCGUAUGGCAAGGCUUGUGUUCAAUAGUAUCCGAAAGGGAGUGGUUGCUCAUGACCCAUACUUCGAGUGCAAAACGGAUGCCCUUGGCAAGCUUGGAUUCUCCUCUUGUCAGAAAUGCACCGCGGCCAUCCGCAUGCUUGCAUAUGGAAUUCCAGGCGAUCUGGUGGAUGAGUACGUGCGCAUGAUUGAGCCCACAUGCCUGCCGUCACUAUACAGCUUCUGCAAGGCUGUGGUGGCAGUGUUUGACCCUGACUACUUGAGGCAGCCAAAUGUGGCUGAUACAGAAAGGAUGUUGGCAAUCAACACCGAUAGAGGCUUUCCAGGCAUGCUUGGCAGCAUAGAUUGUAUGUAUUAGGAGUGGAAAAACUGUCCAUUUGCUUGGCAGGGCCAGUACAAGGGGCAUGUUAAAGCGUGCACUGUCAUAUUAGAAGCGGUGGCUUCGCAAGAUCUUUGGAUAUGGCAUUCUUUCUUCGGCAUGGCAGGUUCUCACAAUGAUAUCAACGUGUUGCAGCGUUCUCCAGUCUUCGCAAGGCUUGCAGAAGGACACUCCCCACCAGUCAACUUUGAGAUCAAUGGCCACCACUACAACAAGGGAUACUACCUAGCUGAUGGCAUAUAUCCUCGGUGGUCAACUUUUGUGAAGACAACAUCGAAACCCCAAGGUGAGAAGAGACAGAGAUUUGCGCAAAUGCAAGAGAGUGCUAGAAAGGAUGUGGAGCGUGCUUUUGGUGUGCUUCAAUCCCGAUGGGGGACCAUUCAACACCCUUCACUGACAUGGGAUGAAGGAAAGCUUUGGGAGGUGAUGACUGCUUGUGUAAUCAUGCACAAUAUGAUCGUCGAGGACGAGCGUGAUAACAGCAUCUUCGACCAAGGAUUUGAUUUUCGAGGUGAAAAUGUUGAGCCCCUGCACCAAGAACCGGCCAUGUUUGAACAGUUUGCCCAAUUCCAUCGUGAAAUGCGUGAUUGGCACACUCAUUUGAAUAUUCAAAAUGAAUUGGUUGAGCACAUGUGAAAUCACAUUGGCAACCAAUAGGUGUAUUGGUUCAUCAAUGUUAUGCAAGAGAAUUUUGAUUUGGUUGUAAAACUAUUUUAUUCGAGACAAUUUUGAUUUAGUUGUAAAACUAUUUCUAUUUGAGACAAUUAAUAUUUGAACGUGGAAACUUGUUUGAAAUAUGAGUAUAUGACAUAUUGGCCGUGGCGGACAGGAUGAGGCCAAAGGAUGCGUCCGCGCGUUGGGCGCACGGCCACCGCAUCCCAGAAAAGGCCGGGACACGACCCAUAGCCCUACCCAAACGGACAGAAUCUAAACAAAACGGACGUCUAGAUAAGAUCUGUGCGCUCGAGUUGGCCUUAUGUUGAUGCGCGUGCGUGCGCGUCGACAACAGGCAACGGAUAUGAUGCACGCCCUCACGUCGUCGGUCGAUCCAUCGGCGGAAAAGGAGACGAUCGAUGCUUCCCAUCGGCCGUUUCCCCUCGACAAACCGGCCACCACAUGCUGGAUGAUUCAAUUUUGCUGCUCCCGAUUUGCUCUUGUGUUUUCAGAUCCAAUUCUCCCUCGGGUGCGAGCUUGCUCAUGUCAUGAUGCGUGCCAUGGAUAACAACAGCGCACAUGAUAUAUUCACUGCAACUGCAUCUCAUAUACAGUAUUCAUGUCAUGAUGCAGUAUACUAGUACUCGCAGGUGAGGUUUAGCUUUGGACAAGCCCAUGUUUGCCUCCUGGAGAGUGGCAUCAGCUCAGCGGGGACAACAUGCGAUGGGGGCAGGCCAGGCAACGCCGUGCCUGCAUAUCUUGCAUUGUUUUUCAGUUCUUUGCAUAUGUAUGCAGUAUGCGUCUUCUCUCUUUAACGGCAUGAGGUUCCCAUAAUUAAAAAGGCCCCAUUGAUUCCCUCCUAAUCAUCACCGCCACUCUCCUCUCUGCUUUGCUCUACCUAGACCACUCCACCACAGUGAAAUCAAAGACAUAAUACUGUACUCGAAAUAGUAGAAAAAAUCUCUAAAGUAUACCAGGUAGAGUACUAGCUUGUACUGUGUGGUGCACCGAUGUCCUGGUGAUUAACAACCACAGUAGUGUUUGUCAUCAUAAGGAUUAAUUGGGCCCAGCUGAUGUGUGUAUUCUCAUACAAAUAUAAGCUAGGGCAUGCACUGCUGUCUCUGUCAUUAAUGUCACUUUGCAUUAUUUUUCGGUGGUCUUUAGUCCAGCUUCUAUGUUGUCCCCCCACCAUGCUCCACCUUGUACAGGUGCUAAGAGCACUGUAGUCCCUGCUGCUCCGGUCCCAACGGCUCGGAUCUUCGCUCGCUCGGGUCUUCGGCCACCGUUGCACCCCUCCCCCCGACACACACACACGCACACACAUUUGUUUUCCACAUGGCUGCCCAUCUCCGUGCUCCGUCCGCCCUUCCCCAUGUUCGCUAGCUCGUUCUUCCGGCAGCGCCCGAUGCCUCCUUCAACGGCAUGCGUUGCUCCCCUUCCUGCGAUGGCGGCUCCGGCCUCUGACCAGAUUUCCUCCUCCUUGACUAUUGCUCCGACGGCUUGGGAUUGCUCAGACUCGGCCAGGGCGAAAUCCUUGCUCGACCUCUCGAUGCUGACAGCGGCGACACCCGCGGGUGCCGUUUCCUUCUUGAAGGCGCUGCCAUGGCCGCUUCCUGUGCCCCUCUUCGUGCAUCAAGGGAGACCCUAGGUCCGGUUUUGCGGAUCGGACGGCGACCGCGCCCCGGCGUCGUUCUCCUUCAUGAAGGUGUCGUCUUGUAUGCUCGGGGUGUCCUUGGCGGUAGUUUUGAUGAUGUUGGUCCUCUUGUUGGUUUGGUUUGGGUUGUGUCCCAGGGUGGCGAGUUUAGCCGUGUUUCUUUUCUGUUUGGGCUGAGCAUCUCAUGUCCUCCUGCUCCGGUCGUCAUGUUCACGCCUCCCGCGCUUGUGUCAUGUGUUGUACCACCCCCUGUACUCACUCUUAACUUCUUCUAUCAAUGCAAUGAUACGCAAGCUUUGCGUGACUGUAGUGGAUGGCCAUAGAUGACAUGCCAGCUCCAUAUAGCCAUCAACUGGCAGUACUAUUAAUCAUGCUCUUAAAAGGAGAUUAGUACUAUAGUAGCACUAUGUGGAAGUACCAGUAGUUGGUUAGACACAACAAGCAAGGACCUGCUCUGCAGUGAAUUAGCAGACCUAAUCUGAAAUGAAGCUGCGACCUUUGUGUGGAGUAGGGACAGAAGCAUGCAUGCAUCUCCAAUUAAUUGGGUCAUGCAUGCAUAAUUGUUCGCAAUGUUGGACCGUCUGCUGACAGAUCUCAACUUAUUUCAGAUUUCAGACAAGUGAAGCUUCACAUACAGCGAGUGCGUGUAGCCGUGUACAUGUAGUCUGAAAGAAGAAACUUCACACCAAGUGAGACAAGUCCUGACCUAGUGACCUUGGCAUCUUAAUGAGCUUGUGAGCAGAUGCAUUAUUGCACUCACAUUCACUUUCUGUGCCCUUUGAUAAUGUGGGUACAGUCGAUUGUUUUAAGCCGGGAACUCCGGAGCGGACGGAACCAUGCAGGUCCCUGCCGGUGACAGGUACGGCCUUCCAGGACGACGACAGCGAGCGAGCGACGAGGAGGAGGCGGUCAAGGAAACGAGAGAUUAUCUUCUCUCUCUGCUGAGACAGGUUAGAGCCAGAUAUAUCAUUUUGUGGUCAUUAGAGAUUACGACUCUGAUUGCUGGGCAGUCAUGUUGUGGUCAUUAGAGUUUAUACUCGUGCGGCAAACACGGGAAAUCAUUUUGCGGCAUGUUGAGAUUGUCCGCUUGAUCGUGUGAUUUAUAAGCAGUGUUGAUCAGUUAGGACUGUGAUAAGCAGUGUUGAUAUACCCUGUGCUUUGGAAGAUAAUAUAUACUCCCUCUGUUUGAAAAAGCUUGUUCUAAGCUUGUCCCUCAGAUGAAUAUAUCUAGCACUAACAUUUAUUUAAGGACAAACUUUUUCGGAUGGAGGGAGUACAUGGUGUCACCAAGCUGUCCUAUACGAUUCGUUAGCACAGAGGCCUGGUAGUUGAAGUUGGGUUUACUUUUACUGCAUUUCUGUGCUUGUUAUCUUCCCUGGUCCUGUUAUGCCUGUGCAAAGCGAGCUUUGAGUGGGGUGUAGAUUUGGACAGAGCGGCGCCGCAAAGGAAGCAAGCUUUCACACUCGAAGUCAAUACUGUUUGACAUUUAGUUAGUGGCUCUUUUUGCCGUAUGAAUUAUGGAGGUGGGUAACUAGCCAUGUGGCGGAUGAUUCAAAUGUGUAAAAAGUUGCACCUGAAACAAUUGCUUUCGGGUAGAAAGUAAAAAGAGGCUAUAAUCCGAUUGUCAAAUUUUCCUUUUGGGGGCAAAAAUGGCAAGUGCAGUUCUCUACUCUGUUACUCUAUCCAUUUUCACAUCUGAGUGAUGUUUUAGAUAUUGACUUGGUCUCGAAGAUAUAACCUUUGACCACUAAGCCUGUUUGCUUGGGGGAUAUUAGAGGUUGGAAAUGGCAAUUUAAGGGGCACGUGACAUAUAAUUCUUUGUUUGGUUGGAGGGUAAUUAAGGGAAUUGAGGUGGGAUGGGAAAAACAAAUUAAGGAGGCCAAUUCACACGUAUCUCUUCACACUGGGUACCGCCCCAGCCGGGCUGGGUUAAGUUGAACACGGAUGGGAGCUACAUAGCGGCCACAGAUGCGGCGGGAGGAGGUAUGAUCCUGCGUGAUGACAGAGGCGAGAUCAUCUACAACGCAUGUAGGGAGCUACGUACAUGCGACAACGCUUUAGAGGUGGAGCUAGAAGCGUGCAGAGAAGGCUUGGAGCUGGCCUUGCACCGAUCUAACCUACCUAUUCUGGUUCAGUUGGAUAGCGCGGAGACGGUGUCGAUGAUUACAGCACGCGAGAUGGAUAGAUCGUCACAUCGUGCACUUAUAAAGGAGAUUCGUAGGUUGGCUGGAAGCGAUGCUAGGGAGAUCUCUUUUACUCUUUGUAGCCGUCUGCAGAACAGGAUUAGUCAUGAGCUGGCCGCCUAUGGCCGUAGCACUCCGCGCACAGUAGUCUGGCUUACUGCCGGGAUGGACUUUGUUGUAAACCUGGCUCUCGCUGAGAAGCCUCCUUGAGUAAUGAGAAUUCCUUUUUCCCCGAAAAAAAAUACAUGUGGGAAGUUAUUUUCUCUCAAAUUCCCUUUACUAAUUCACACCACACACCAAACAUGGGAUUGAGACUAAAAUUCAACUUUCUUNNNNNNNNNNNNNNNNNNNNNNNNNNNNNNNNNNNNNNNNNNNNNNNNNNNNNNNNNNNNNNNNNNNNNNNNNNNNNNNNNNNNNNNNNNNNNNNNNNNNNNNNNNNNNNNNNNNNNNNNNNNNNNNNNNNNNNNNNNNNNNNNNNNNNNNNNNNNNNNNNNNNNNNNNNNNNNNNNNNNNNNNNNNNNNNNNNNNNNNNNNNNNNNNNNNNNNNNNNNNNNNNNNNNNNNNNNNNNNNNNNNUCUUCUUCAAUCAACGGCGGACUUCGGUGGCCGGUGCGUCGGGCGGGGCGCGCUGGCAGGCGUCGGUGAGUGGCGGCACUGCUGCUGGCCGGUGCAGGCGUGUCGCGGUGGAGCGCGCGUGCUGGUGGCAGCACGACGUUCGCUUCGUGGCGGGGUUCGGCCCGGUCAGAUCUGCGCUGGCCGGAGAUGGGGGUGGCGGCCGGAGCUCAGCAAGAGCCAUGGCGGUGCGGCGGGCCUUGUAGGAGUCGGCAGCGAGGCGAGGGUGCGGCUGGCUGGUUGCGGCGCCGUUCGGUGGCAGAAGUGCGAGUCCGCGGCCAGUUUGGAGUCGGCGCUGUGAGGCUCGGCCGAGAUGGAGUCUUGGCGAGCAGCGAGCGGCCGGCCACUUCUGUUCGGCGUGAUGAGCAGGGAUGCUCUUCCGACGGUGCAGCCUGGCUUCGUCGAGAUGCGGGUACAGUCGUCGCAAGGCUGUCCCUUGGAGUGGGCGAUGGCUGUUGCGGGCGGCCUGGACUUGCCGGAGGUGCGGAGAAGUUGCGGUUCCUGUCGAGGCGGGGUUGUUGAUGGUGUGGCUGGUGUUCCCCUUGCUGUGCGUCCGGUCGAUGGCCCUCGGCUUGGCAGCUACGUCGGCAAAGUGCUGCGGUGGCGGCGGUGUGAAGCUUCUGGGACGGUGUUGCCCAAUUCUAGAUGGUGUGGUGAGGUGCGACGCGCGGAUAAAAAUCUUGCACGGCUUCCGUCGGGCCGGCGGCGAUGGCACCCGCGGAUGCCAUUCCCCUCCUUGGAGGCGUCGUUGUGAUGUGCUCGUCACCUCCCUCACUCGCCUGGAGUUGUGGUUGUCUCCGGGCGAAAGCCUCGAUUCGGUUGGAUCGACACAAUGGCGGCGUCUUCGACGUCGUUUCUCUGCUGGGAGCAUUGUGUUUGGAGACAUGGCCGGCUCCUCGUCGCUCUCCUCCGGUGUUCGCCGCUGUCCUCCUUGAUCCUCUGCGGCGCUAUGUACGCCCGUCGCCGGUGUGUCCAAGACGGCGACUUUCUCGGACCGGAUCGAGUCCUACCAACCACUUGCCACUUCCUCUUAGGCGAUAAGGGUGGAUGGUGCGUCGACAAGUGAAGCUCUGCGGAAGUUGGUGUUCUUCGGAGAUGUUCGGCGUCGGUCGAGACGCGACGCUGAGUUUCGAUUAGGAUAGGUCCUUUGUGUUGUAGCUUGCUUUGCGGUGUUGUGCUAUGCUCGUUGUUCGCAGCGAGUGUAGUUUCUUGUAACUUAAAUUCUGCCUUCUAUAAAGCUAUGUACGCCAAGGCGUACUCUCAAAAAAAGAGUAAAAUUCAACUUCGCACGCCUAAUCCCCUACUAAACUCCCGCGUGUAAACUCCCAUUCUCUUUCCUCAUUCUAGCCAAACAUGCUAAGGCAUUUCCAAUGCAGACCCUCAAAACGACGUCUGAAAGCAUCGAACCAAGUUGUCCGGACAUUGUUCAAUGUAACCGACAUUCUGGAUCUUCGCCAUGUAGGACUCAUACACCCCGGCCCAGCCAAAACCGAGGUUGGCCUGCACAUUUUGCGGCGGUGCCGCAUAGACCCGUACAAAAAGUUGCCAAAAGCCGACGAAGGUGGGGGUCUAGAGGAGGUGGCUGCCCGGAAGAUCAACUCGGCAACACAACAAGCCCGCCGCCUCAAAGUGAAGGCAAAGGACGGGGUGGCCGGCAAAAAGAAGGGCGGGAGCGGGGGCGGGGACGGGUACAGGUGUCUGGUGGGACCUAGAACGCAAGGCACCGCCUCCGUCCAUGCACACGCCGCCCUAGUAGGACCAAUAUCAGCCUCCCUGCUUCUACGCCGCCAAGCAACUCGGCCGGCACUCCCCGGCCUCUGCCGUCGGGCACGUGUGUAUUGCGUCGACGUCAACGCGGCGCUGCCCCAUUUCGUCGAAUAGGCAUCGCCGCAACUUAUCCGUUGCGGAUGUCGGGUGUGGAUCAGCUCGGUGCCCGCUCUUUUUUUUGCUUCUCUCAACUAGGCGAGCCAACGUAUGACAGCGCAGACAGGCACUUGUUUGAGAUGAUCCACGACGGAGGCGGAGGCUGAGGCUGGUUCGAGGACGGACAAGUGGAUGACUCGGAGUUGAAGAUCCACGCCUAGCAGAUGGGCACGCACACCCAACGACCGGAAUCGUACAUCGGGCAUCCAAAGCAGGACAAGUACGACGAGGAUGGCCUUGAUCCAGAGGAUUGGCGUACCGAUCCAAAGAAGAAGGGUAGAGAAAAAUGCUUCAAAAUGCAGGUGGACGAGUUUGUUGUGCAAUGUGUAGUUGGCCGGUAACCUGAAUCUGGUCCAUGGCAGGGAGCAAAAGGGCGCAACAUUUUGGUCCAAUGGCCAUUCUUGGUUCCAUGAGCACAAGAAUCUCUAGCCCUAUUGUGACGAACUCAUCCGCAAUCAUGGGACAAAGUCUCUCAACCAUCAAGGGUACAUCAUCCAAGAGGCGGUGAGCAAGUAUUGUGAUUUACAGUUCGGGGGGAAUGUAAUUGUCCUAAAAAAACGUGACCUAGUGCCCUUAUUUAUUCCUAAAUUUAUUUUUAGCAUUUUUGGCGAUGUGCGUUGAGUGUGAGGAGAUGUUUCCGUCAACUACGGGGCACUUUGGUGACCUAGUCAAAAACCCGAAGAUAAUAUACCGGCUCGGUUUCUUAGACGUGCUCAUAGAGGUAGGCUGUGCGUUUAUAGCGAUGAGUCUAUACGCGUCUAUAUGAGCGCGUUAUUAGUCUAUACUGUGUUAAGAAAAAGAAAGGGAUAAAAUUUAAGUUGGAUUCUUUCGAUCUACGUUAUUCUUCAUCGGCGGUGGUUGCUGUUCUGGUGCGCUGGUCCUAUGGGGCCUUAGCACGACGACUUUCUGACUGUCUACUACAACAAGUUGUGCCCGACUCCGGCGAGGGAGGGAUGAUGACGGUGGCGCGCCUUCGGCUCACUUCAGUGCCUGUAGUCGUCGCUAGAUGGUCUACGGAUCUGGAUGUAUUUUUUAUUAUUUCUGAUAUUCGUUGUAUGACAUGAUUGAACAUGAAUAGAUCGAAAGUUUUUUUUUUUAAAACAGCAGCAGCAGCGGCUGGGCAUCAUCAUCGUCGUGUCGCGUCGACCCCGCGUGCAGUUUGUUUCCUUAACCAAAACACCAGGCAAGGCAGCGCGACAGAUUCUCCUCGGCUGGCCACGGCCGGGCCGCCGGUUCCUGUCUGUCACCCCUGCGGAGCAGGGCGCCGUACUGUCGACGACGGCGACCCCAACGGCGACAGCGGAUAACACGCCUCCGCUCCACUUGCGUGCGCGUUUCAACUCUCCGUUCAACCUCAUCUUGACGUGAAAGAAAGAAAGGAAGGAAAAAUACGAGAUCCGGCGGUGGGGCCGGCCGGAGAUCUGAGCGCGACGGAGGAAUCCUCAGCCGAUCGGCGUGGGGACGCGAUGCCCCGAAUCGCCGGAGAAAAGACCGGGCGGUGCUGGUGCGCGCAUGUCACCGGGCAUUUCCCCCCUCCAUCGUCUACAUGGAGAUGGAUGCGUGCGUGCAACCAUGAUGCACGCCGCCGCCGCUUUCCGCCACCACGUGUGCCGUCGACAGCGACCGGAGAUAAACCCCCACCGAGGUGAGGUUCGUCGUACUAAGAGGCGACGAUGCACGGCGCCCCUUGGGAGGAGCAUCGAGCCAGGUGGGCGAUAGAUGGAUAGAUAGACCGAUGGCGUGACGGAUACCUGGGGAAUGGAUCGGGAGCACCACGAAGAAAUGGAUGGGAGCGUGAUGGACAGAUGGAUGGAGGGGCAUCACAUCACAUCGCAUCACAUCAUCCAUCUUUCCUAUUCUCCUAAUUUCAAAAGAGAAAUCCUCAGUCUUUGCAACGCAAUUGGCACAAGGGGAUGAGUGAGUCUGAUGGGACCUGUAGCCCUCACAUGGUGGGGUGCCGCUCUGCUCUGGUGCUGGUCCAGCUCCACGCGUGCAAAGCCAAAGCCUCAAAAGGGAGGGAAUGAUGGGGUGGAUGCCUACAUACAUACAUUCCUCUUCCCCCAAAGGUGGCCUCUGUCCAUCCAUCUUUGGGCCUAUCCACCCCACCCAUGGACCAAGGUCCUGCACAACAGAGCGUUUCUACAUCUACAGGUAAAUAAAUGGACAUGCCACUUCUGAUUGGCAAAUGCCAGUAACAGCAAAUGGUGGCAACUCCAGGGUGCUACUCAUCUGGAACUGGAAGUGAGGCCAUGAAGAUCAAUGCACUCUACUAACUGAACUCUGGUGUAUUGCCAUUGAUGCAUGUGGAACCCAAAAAUGCAAUGUCAAUGCAGAACAUGAACAAGACAGGCAAUCGCAACAACGACAAGGGAAUUGAUGACUAGAGAGCCUACAUUCACAGGAUUAGCAAGUAGGAGUAUUCCACAGAAGAGAGUUUUGGCAGGCUUACCAAAAGGGGGGGUUUACGGAUCACGGUACAGUUCCUACUUCUUCUUAACAUGAGAUCACAUGGCAUGAUUAUUAGACGGUAGUACAUGACUUAAAAGAGCUAGGAAUGGUCUAUGUGCUUGCUUUCCAGUUCCGGGGUCUCGAAAACUAGGAGAGAAAGGGAAAAAAGGCUGCAGAAACAUACGCGGCGAAGCUAGCUUAAGCCGAGGCCUUCGCCUCGCCUCAGAACACCAUU